This 50970-nucleotide long non-coding RNA is filed under the name Malus domestica (apple). RNAcentral's name for it is "long non-coding RNA (MDOM_LNC003037)". Lineage: Eukaryota; Viridiplantae; Streptophyta; Magnoliopsida; Rosales; Rosaceae. The record is from RNAcentral.
UUUUGAGUGAAGUUUUGGUCAAUCCUUCUAGAAAUUUAUCUCUUCUUGCAACUUGUAUUUGUUUCACCAGAUUUUUAGCAUGUUCAUAGCCUCUUUUGUCUUCAAAUUCGUCUAUCCUCAUGCCUCCAUGCUUGCACAAUCCAAUCUUGGCCCAAAAAUGCUCUAGAAUGUUUCCAAAUUGCUUCUUUUUGCAUACUUUGACACUAAAACCUGAAAUUGCACGAAAAUAACUUUAAACACUAUAAUUAUCAUAGUUUAGCUAAUUAAAAGCAAGAAAACAAGCUAACUAAGUCGUAUAAAUAUGCUCCUAUCAUUCAUUUAUUAGCAAUACUUUGUACGAAAAUGAUUAGUUACGUUAUUACGUUAUAUAUUCACGUAAAUGAUUUCAUUUCUAGGUGAAACGUGUUGAGUGCAUAAAGUUAUACUUUUACGCCCUCUUUUACUUAGGUUUUUUACUUAAAAUCUCUAUGCAUCACAAGGUAUUUUGUUGUUUGUAUUGUAUUUCAUGAUGAAAGUAAGGGCUUGAUGAAAUCAUCUUAUUUUGAAUAUCUUAAGAGCCUAGAAAGGAUAGUUUGAAGCCCAACUCGCCCAAGACCAAACUAUAGCCCACAAGGAUCCACCAGAAAAGGCCCUUGCAGAACGGCCAACUUAUGAGCUUUGCCCCGAAGUGCUCAAAACGAAUUAGAAAAUGGGCCAUAUAUGGUUGGAAAGCCCUGGAAGUCUUCUUUCUGAUGGUCUUUACAUCUUGUGAUUUGGAGGUUUCGACAAGAAGUUAUGAUAGAAUAAAGAAAAAAUGUUUAGUUACGAAUUCUGAUAACAGCUAGUUUUCAGUUACUCAUAUACUAGAUGUUGGUUGUUAUGAGCUAUAAUGAGAGUUUCAGAUGUUAGAUAAGUCCUAAGCCUUUUAAUAGGAGACAAAUACUCAACAGAAGGAGGAGAAUCUGAAGAGAGAGCAGAAGUCUUCAACCUUGAGCCGUUUUCUAGGUUCUAGCUUUCCUGACUUUUUAUGUGUUUUGUUUUUAUGGAUACUUAGGGCUACUUUGAAGCCCUAGACAUGAUUGAAUUAAUGUUAUGAUGUAGUUUUAGUUUAUCAAUUUCAUUUGCAAGCUAGAAUUAGUUUUCUGUUUCAAUCAUUUCAAGCACAUAUUUUCAAGCUUAGAUACCUUGUUUAUGUUUGCUUUCUGUUGAGAAUGAUAAGGAUGACUACCAUAUCCUCUUUCAUUCCUUAGCAACAUAUGGUUAGGUUCAAAACUAAUCAUGUAAGCUGAUUCCAUGAAAAUCUAGGAAAAAUGCCAUGUUUUAAGGUUCAUGUGAUGUUCAUAAUCCACUUCGUUCUUAAUGAGUUUCUAGGUGCUAAAUCUGAGUAUAUGCCAUGUUAGGUUACACCUAUAAAUAUAAGUUUUAUAUAUAUGCCAUGCAUCUAACAUGCAAAUACAGUGAGGAUUCAUACAAUCUAGUUAUAUGCCAUGCUAGAUAUGUGAACAUCUUAGUUGUGCAUUUGAAAUGGAUAAGUUAAAAGACCAUCUCAUUGAUUCAUGAAUGUUUAGGGGAAGGCCCUAGCUCAUUUUAAGUCAGAUUUCAUGUCUUAGGUUUAUUUUUAAAUAGUUCUAAUUUUUCCAUUUUCUUUAUGUCUUUAUUUCUUUUCCAAAAUUACUCAAACCCCCCAUAGGAGUCUUUAACUAAUGCUAAUUUGUAAGAGUAAAAGGUUUUACUAAGUUGUUUCUCAGUCCCUGUGGUUCGACACCCUUAGUUGUGCUGCUAUACUAUCCUUAUAUUUGCACUUGAAAGGAACUUCAACAAAAUGCAUCGUAAUGAUUUUUGGUGCCUGCAAGGCGGGUUUGACCCAACGACAUGCUUUGUGAAUGGAUCUUUGCUUUUAAAUAUUAUAUAUUUACUUUAUAUUUUUUAUAAAGAAUUUUCUACGUUAUGUCUACAUUAGAUUAACGUUUAUAAGAAUUAGCGCAUUGACGGAAAUUAGGAAAUUAUGCUACGUCCUACGAGAUGCACAGGUAUGCGUAUUAUUAUGGGAUGUCUUAAUCAUAUUUACGACCAUGAAUAACAUUAUGUCGACUAGAAUUAUCUGUUUAGUGUUGCAUGAUCAUAUUUGAGCUAUUUGCUCAUCGUGUGCUACAUUAGUGUUAGUACUCGCCUAGGCCAGGGCCAGUCUUCACGUGUAUGUUCACAUCGCACCGUAUGCUCACUUUGGAUCCAUUGUCGGUGCCAAUCCAGUCCUAGAUUGCUAUAGGCAAUUAGGGCUCGUAUAUGAUGCGCAUAACGCCAGUCUUCACAUGAUUGUUGUACUAUAGCGUAAAUCAUUCUUUCACCCAGUCUUGUUCAUGUCAGAAUAUCUCUGCAUGAACUUGCGUGUCAGCAUAUGUCGAUGAGCACUCGUUAUGAUAUGUUUGUUUAUGCGAGAUUAUGUGAUUACUAGACGUUAUGUGUUCAUUUAUGAAAUAUUGUGAUGUAUUGCAUUCUUGUGAUAUUGCUGGCUACAAUAAGUAUUUCCAUAUUAUACAUAGUAUGUUAUAUUUGGAAAGUAUACUUGUUUUACGGCAAGGGGGUUAUUAUGUUUUCGAAAAGGUUUUGCAAAGGUUUUUUUUUUUUAUAGGCCCACUCACCCUUGUUUUUCGCCACUCUAGGUUUUAGUGGCAAAGCUUUCGUGUCAACGAGGAUUCUUGGCAAAUGUGGGUACAUGAGAUUACCUUCGCUGGAAUAAUUAUUAUCCUACCUUUACCUUACUUUACUUAUGCUCUGACAUCACGUGUGAAUGGGGUUCAAUCCCGCUCACAUGUACACUCUUGCAUUUAGUCACUUUUAGGUUUAAAUUUAUUCACAUUUUACACAUCCCUACACCUUAUGGCUUCGUCACCUUUAUGGUGUCUGCCAACACAACUCGAUUCGGAGUCUAGGUGGACAUUCUGGGUCGGGGUGUGUCAGUGGGUGUGCUGACCUAUUACCUUUAGGCAAGUUGACGUCAUUGCACUUUUUUAUUUUUAUUUUCUGGCAGACACGUGUAACGCAUGCGCGACUGUGGGCGAGUGGUAGACAAGCCUGCAACAUGGGCCCUGAUGCAACAGUGGAGUCAGAUAUUUCCAACGGUAGGGACACAUGGCUCCAUUUAAAGCUGUUGGAUGAGCUUACCUAGAUCCAAGUCUCCUCAAUCCUAGUGCGAUGAGUUGGGCCAAUCAAACUUCAAAUUGAAGUCUAGUCGGUGACACCCGUUGCCUGACCUUUACCAAUCCCAUCAUGGCUGUUUCAACUAAUGCUAAUUUACUUAACACACAAAUUAAACCCUCUUGUAUCAAUUGUAGUAAAGAAUGUAAGUAGGGAUCGUUCUGGACCGGGGAUUAGGAGGGUUUGCUAAUAACCUCUAAACUGACUUAAAAACAUAUAAACAAAGUUAAAACCCUAAACUAGACUCAAAGAAUUCAAAACAAACUCAAAGAACUCAAAACAAGCUAAAAAUGCUCAAAUCUGCCUAAAAACACAAACUGGGCAGAUUUGGACUCUAACACACUUUUGGACGAAUUUUGGUUUUAACUUGGUUUGAAAUACUUAAAAACACAAACUAAAUCAAUUUCUAAUUAAUAUGACUCAACAAGGUAAAAGGGGUUUUGGUUUUGACGAAAUUGAAAACAAAACAAGUAAAUUAAAGAACUAAUGAAAUCUGCACGAAUUUGAGUAAAUUGAAUGGAUGGAAGGCUAGCUAGGAGGUUCUUUUCCACACAUGACACACUUGCAAACAAAACAAUUUCCAGUUGCUUUUCAAUAAACUACGAAUUCUUAACGCCCCAGAUUAACUGUGAAUUGCACUAAUUAACCCUCAGAUUUUCCUAAUUUCAUUGAAUUGGAUGAUUGCAUACAACAACCCAAAGCAUUCCCUACAAGUUCCCUACAUGAAUUGCAUAAUAGAGAUACAAGCAAGAAUCAUUAAGUUUUAUGAAAAUCAUAAGCAUUGACGAAACACUUGUAACUAUGAAUUGCAUGAAACUUAUGCCAAGAAUUUACUUAACACGGUUGUGACGAGCAACCUUCACUACUUGUGAAUAUAAGUUCACAACGAUUAGGUGAAACUCCCUUAUAUCCUAGCAUCAGAUUUAUGCAUGAAAAUUAAGCGUGCACUCUCAACCAACACACAUAAAUCAGUUUUAAUUCAAAUGGAUAAGUAGAUUGAAUUCACAACUUAUGAAUCAUAACUGAAGUAAUCAAAUCAUAUUGCAAGCAUGAACAUGGUUUCGAAUCCCCCCCUAGCUAAGGGGGGUUUAGUUACUCAUAAUUGCAACAAAAUAAGAAAAUAACAAAGUAGACAUUGAAAGCAAGAACGAAGUACACCUAAAACGCUCCAAAGUUUGAAGCUUGAAACGCCAAGGACCUUCGUUUUCACCACCUUGUUGCAGCACAAGUGUCUAAGGAUGUGUAUGGAUAUAUGGAAAGGUUAUGAAUGUAUUUAGGAUUGGUGAAUGUCUCGGCCAAGGGAAGGGAGUGUAUGGAGUUGUGUUUUGAGAUAUAUGGGAAAUGAAUGGAUGAAUGGAUGGUGCUCACGGCCAAGGAAUGAAAGUGUAAGUGUAUGGAGUUGUGAGAUGUGAAUGUAGUGUCUUUGGAUGGAUUUUUUCUGAUUUUUUGUUAUGGUGAAGGGUGGAUGUAUUUAUAGGCUAGGGAGAGGACUACCAUCUAAUUAAGGUGGUAGUGGUGUAUGUUGUGGUAAUGAGUGGAUGUAAUGGGUGUAGUAGAUGGAUGUUUGGUAAUGAGUGGAUGUAAUGGGUGUAGUGGAUGGAUGUUUGUAGUUGUAGGUCAACACACUUGCACACACACAUGCUGAUUUCUAGCCUUCAAAUCUUCAAAAACGUCCAUCCUCAUGUCUCCAUGCUUGCACUAUCCAAUCUUGGCCAAAAAAUGCUCCAAAAUGCUCCAAAUAGCACUUUGUUGCUAACUUUGUUAUUUGAACCUACAAACACACGAAAAUAGCUUAAAGUACUAAAAUAACUAGAAUUAAACUAAGUAAAUGCCAAGAAACAAGCUAACUAAGUUGCAUAAAUAUGCUCCUAUCAUCAACUAGUAAGGGUCAAAGUCCCAAUCUUCCAAGUCAGGGAAACUACUAUACUUUUUUAGGAAGUCGUGUCCAACCGAAGGGCCAGCCUCAUUAUCAUUUGCCCCGCUACAUUUUUAGGAAGUCAUGUACAAUAGAAGGGCCAGCCUCAUUAUCAUUUGACUGGCUCCUCUAUAGGGGGAUUCAAUCAGAAUGUGAGGAAAUAUUAGUGUUGUGCCAUUUGGCGCAAUCUGAUGCGUCCGAUUUCAAAUCAAUUUGAAAAUCAAUGGCAGGAUUAAUCCAACAUUAAAAAGAAAAAAAAAUCACAAAGAAAUAGAAAAAAAUUAUAAAAAAAAUAUAGCAAAAAUUAGAAUUUUUUAUAUUGUUGUUUUAUAAAUACCCAACUAUCUUCUUCAUUUUCCAUCACAACUCUAUUCAUUUUCACCACAAUCUUCUAUAUUUAUUUUUCACUAUUUAAAUUCUUUUUUUUUUCUUAAAUUAAUUAUGUUUAUUGUAAUGUUGUGCUUUUGUUUUGUAUUGAAAGCAUAAAAAAAUUAAACAAGCAUUUUAUUUUCAAAGCAUAAAAAAAAAAAAACAAUCUUCUAUGUUUUGAACAAUCUUUUUAUUUUCAAAGCAUAAAAAAAUUUAAAAAAAAAAUUGUGAAUAGUACUGUCCUUUUCAAACUAGUGGAGUUACACAAAGGCAAGUACUAUUUAGAGUGAAUAUCAAGUGCAACUUACAUGCCCACUGUUGCCCUUACCUUUCACCAACUAGUGCAGAUGUGCUCUAAGGGGUUAGUCUAGUGGAAAGCAAGCAAAGGUUUGGAACUCCCAGUCCAAGUUUGAAUAUAUGAAUUUCUUGAGGUAACCAGUUUUGUUUUGGCGUAUCUUUUAUUUGUGAGUAAAAAAUACUCUAUUAUCUUAUAUGGUACGUGAUUGCAUUAGAAAGGGGAUUAGUCUCCAUCCAUCUUACAUUGUAGUUUGCACAUGUGAUUGAUUUUUUUGUGUUUAUUUUAUUUUAUAUAAUAUAUUUUUCUUUUAUUAAUAUUAUUAUUUAAAGUAGUGCUAAUAACAUUAAAAUUUAAUUUAUAAAUUAUACAAUACGAUUGUUGAUAAUUAAAUUAUUAUUUAAAUAAUAAUUAAUGUGUUUAUUUUUUAUUAAAUACAUGAUAUGGUAUGCAAAUUUGAAGUAAAAAUUUAGUUUCGAAUCGAAGAGAAAGUAUACGUGCGGAUGAGAGAGAAUCAGAUGCCGAUGGAUCACCACUCUUCCUUUUGAUAUAUAAAGGCUACCCGUCUCUUCCCAUUUUUCCACAUUCGAAACGCACAGACAUAUUUUCCUUUUGUUCCUUUGGACAAUUUCUCUGUGAUUUUCUCGGAAGCCAAACGCUCUCAACGAUGGCCGAUCAGCUCACCGACGACCAGAUCUCUGAGUUCAAGGAGGCUUUCAGCCUAUUCGACAAGGACGGCGAUGGUCUCCUUUCUCAGAUCCCUCUUUUUCUCUCUUUUUUCCCUUUCCUCUUUGUUCUUAUUAUGCCUAACUAAUCUAUGAUAUUUGGAUCUAAUGCUGUUAUUGCAUCGAAAUUUCGUUUGUGCUUGUGAAAAUUUGUGAUUGAUCGAGGGUUUUUCAGCAAUUGAUUCGAUUUAUCAUUCUCCGAGUGCUUUUUGAUCGUUUAGGAUAAGAUCAUGCUGUUAGAUUCGAUCGUUCGAAUUUAAAUAGAUGGAUGAUUUGUGCAUCCCGCUUGUCGAUUCGGUACAUGUCUGAUGUUUCGUUUCCCCUUGUUUGCACAAUUAAUUUUUCUGGUAUUGGGAUCACAAGGCAAUGUUACAUGAUAUAUACAUAAGAAAAUACAGAGAUAUAUAAAUAUAAAACGAUUUACUGUAUGUUUCUGUCGUCUAAUAAUAGCAUGAAAUGCAGAUUUUUGUGCCAAACUCUUCUUCAGGGUUUAGGGUUUGAAGAAAUCUGUGAAUAUACUUUUGAUUUUGAACAAUUUUUGUAUCAGUUCACAGUUUUCAGAUUUUGCAAGCACGCAACUGUUUGACGUCCCCGUAUAUUUCUCCUUCUUAGCUUUAUACUUAGACGAAUCAGUUUUUAUUUCCCUACAAGUAUGUUUGAUCCUUGGAUUUAUAUGUUACUUUUUGAAAUCUGUAAGUAUUAUCUGAGUCGUCGAAUCUUCAUAACAUCGUAUAGUGACUUUUUUUUCUUAUUUGACAAUCGUAUUUUGGUCUUGUGGCAUUUUCUAGCCUUUACCAUCUUAAUGGUUGUAGACAUCGAAAUUGAAAAUUCGUGUUUACAAUGGUAUUUGAGUAUUUUCUUUUUCUAGUUAGGAGUCAGAGUUUGAAGUGCAUCUAUAAAUGUUAUCAAUCCUUUACUCGUAUGGCUGGGUGGUUUUGGGUUGGACUAUUGUGAAUUGAUUUUGUCUUUUCUUUUGUGAUAUUUUGAUAUGGAAUUUGGAAAUCUGGAUGAAUGUUUUGCUUUUUAUUGUUUGCCUUGUAUAUGUUGUCUGCAAUAUUGAAAUUGUUAAGCGUUGUUUGAUUGAAAUGUGAUAGUCUUAGUUCAUGUGUGUGCUUUUCUUUUUCCAAUUUAGACGGAAUUCCCUCAACAGUAGUAACAGUUUAAUGUAUUGGAGUGAAUGUUAGGGGGAGAACAGUGGUUUUCUUGUGUUGGUAUGCCCGGCUACAGUUAUGUGUCUGAAGCCCUAUUACCAAUUUCUUUGUUGGAUUCCACCGUAAUGUUUCUUUAAAUUUUUAUGCAGGUUGCAUCACUACAAAGGAGUUGGGGACUGUUAUGCGUUCACUUGGGCAGAACCCCACUGAAGCUGAGCUUCAGGAUAUGAUCAAUGAGGUUGAUGCUGAUGGGAAUGGGACCAUUGAUUUCCCAGAGUUCCUUAACCUGAUGGCCCGGAAGAUGAAGGACACAGAUUCUGAGGAGGAGCUCAAGGAAGCUUUCCGAGUGUUCGAUAAGGACCAGAAUGGCUUCAUUUCUGCCGCUGAGCUUCGUCAUGUUAUGACAAAUCUAGGCGAGAAGCUGACAGAUGAGGAAGUGGAUGAGAUGAUUCGUGAGGCUGAUGUGGAUGGUGAUGGGCAGAUCAACUAUGAGGAGUUCGUCAAAGUCAUGAUGGCCAAGUGAGGAUUAAUUGACCAAAACUAAAGUUUAUAUAAAAACGUAAAAGGGAACAGAGCAGAUAAGUUCAAAAGAGAUUUUCGUAUCCCAUUAGGACAUGUUCAUUUGUUAUUGCUAGGUUUUGGUUGGUUCAUGUAUGCAUUAUUUGCGGUACCGUUCCUUUAGUAUCCUACUUGUUUGCUGUCUCUUCAUAGUUCCUGUUUGGUAGUGUGUUACGAUACAUUGGUAUUCUGAUUCUUCUCUUUGAAAUCAUGAAUUUAAAUCUGUUGGGUGAAUCUGAUAUUACUGCUUAUUGAAGAUUUUCGUUGUUAAUAUUGCAAGUUGGUAGCCUCUCUUGUUAAUGUGAUCUUGUCGUCAUGCGUUGGUGAUACGUGCUUCUUCUGUUGUUUAGUCUUAAAGCAUGAAAUUUGAAUUUCAAAAUCAUGUUAGUAUUAUGUAAACUAUUUUCUCAGCAUCUGUUCACGCAGAAAUUGAAAGUAGGUUUUCGGGAUUACAAAUUUUUCAAACUCCAUUGGCGGAGUCUGAAAUUGAUCACCGAUGGUGGUUAUGAUCUGAUGAAACUUGUUAAUAGCUUUCUGUAGAUGAUAACUUGGUAGGGAAUGAAUCACUGGUGCAUGACAAACUUGGUUGCUUGCUUGCUUACUCCGUAAGUAGAACGGGGUCCUAGGCACUGGCAUCGGCGACGGGUGCAUCCAACGUCAACGUGCUGUCAUGAUUUCUUCUUUUGUAUUUCUCUUGUUUUUGUGGUGCACGGGGCGGGUGGCCUCAAAGCGAAAACAUGUAAAAGAUAAGCAUCAGAUUCCUCCUUGUUUCACCUUAUUUUACUGAUUCGCUUGGAGGACAAUAGGAGUUAUUCUCUUCCGGACCAAAAUAGAAUCCUACACUUGGCAUUGCAGUUGCAAUGCAGAAGUUUCUCCUUUCACCUCCCCCCAACGUUAAUUCCAGAUACUUUGGAAUAUUGGGGAAGGCGGAAUUGAAAGGGUAAAUGUUGUUAACUAUUUGAGCUACGUGUCUGUUCAUUUCCAAAAUCAUAUUUGGCAUCCAAAAAACGUUUAAAGCGAAAAAGAAAAUUCAAUUAAAGCAUGAUGAGUGGACAGAAGAGCAUCGACCGACUUUUCAAACCAAGCAAUCGAGCAAGUAUAAAAUAGUAAUCUCAAAUCGCAUCGCACCGCAUGCAAAUAGCAUUAAGCAUUAAGCAUUGUAAUAAUGUUUGUCUCUCCUACUUUUAAUGACAGAAGAAUGAGAAGUCGAUCAAAUCAAAGGAGCGACAGCGUCGGCAGCACGAAUUCAAAGGAGUACAAGAACAAGACCGACGGAGGAGAGAACGGGAAGAUGGGGCGUCGUUAUCGUUGUAGACAACACUUACACGAUUGUUCUAUCUUGUAAUUAAAACUCAAUACUUUCAUGUUAUCUUUCUUAAACAUUCCUCUAAUUAAUCCAAAGGGAAUGUUCCAUUACUAUUUAUAUGCGUCCUUGAACAAAGUCUAACCAAUUUAGCAUCAAUCUCCUCUAUGUAUUACUCCUCCAAUUAAUCCAAAGGAUUGGUCAUGGGGACGCAGCCCGGAGGUCCUGGGAAAGGUCCGGGAAGAAGUAGCAAGGAUUUGGUCCCCGGAGUCCAACCCUCCGAUCACGGCGGAGAAGCUCUCGAAGAUGAAGUACACGCACGCGGUGGCGCUCGAGGUGGUGAGGUACCGAGCUCCGGCGACGAAGGGGUAUCUGCCAUUGCUUCAAAAGAAAUGGGGUUGAGUCGAUGGGGUCGACGGAGAACCAUGGGCACGUUUGUCAGUUAAUCUUUCAUUGUAUUCCGCUCUGUGCGUACCAACGCGGAACAGAAUAAAUGUCCUAUUCCAGCCUAUGCGUACCAACGUAGCACGGAACCUCCGUUCCAUCACAUUCCAUUCCGUCCCGAUCUGUCUUGUUCCAAACGCUCCCCUACAAAUGAUAUCUGCGGAGAUCACGAGAAUGACUGAUUCUUUUCAUCCGUUAGAUUAAAGACACCCACACUUGAGAUUCAUCCCAGAGAAUACAGCCCCCUUGAUUAACGAUCCCACACAUACUGUCGCACAUAAGAUUACCACAAAAGAAAUAACAAUUAAAAAUACAAAGAAUUUAAAGGAAAUUAUGCCCAAGACCAAGAUGGUCAGAUUAUCUUCAAUAAUUUUGUUUGGAUCCAAAAUUACACUAUUGGCCCGAGUAAUCGAGACCGUUGAAUGACCAGAAUUUUAGAAUGUUAAAUGACAAAGUGGUUGAAAUGAUUUUCAAUUAUAUUGAGAAAUAAUGUUUUAAUUUUAAUCAUGAUAUUAUCUCUUAGUAAUAUAUUAAAUUAUUUAAACCUAAUAUUUGUCUAAAUCGCAAUUGAUUUGAACAAAUGGAAUAUUGGGAUAUGCGCGACAUCAGAUAAUGAAGCAUGCAUGAUCGGAUGAUUGUCAUACAACUACAAAUGGAUUAAUGCAUGCAUGGAUAGAUUAUGAGGAAGCCUAGAUAGGUCUGGCUUUUGGUGGUGAUGUGAUAAGUCUAAGAUUUGAUGGUCUUGGAUAAUGAUGAGGUAAGAAGCCUAGGUUGGCUAGGCUCUUUUUGCAUGGUGAUGGAGGUCAUCAGAUGAGUUUAAAGGCUUCUGAUGGAGUUUUUGAUCAAAUAAGAAGCUUAGGUGGGCUAGGUUUCUGAUGUGGUGUGAUAAAGCCUAGAUAGGCUUUAUUUUGUUUAAAAGUCACAAAAUCUGAAGGAUAUGCCUUGGCAUUUACGGAUCAAUUUCAGUUUGCUAGAGUUGCAGUUAGACUCUACAAAGUUAUCAGGUCAUGUGUUGACCCUAAAAACUACCAAGCCUAAGUGGCGCGCAGGCUGAGUAACUAAUGAGCUAACUACAUCAUUCGGUUGUAUGCGAGCAUGCCAACUCGUUGGCCGAGAUCAGCUGAGGAGUAAAAUAUGUUGAUGUUACGUUAAGCGCACUGCUGACUUCUUAAUCUUGCAAUUGCGGCUGAGGAAGGAACACAUCUUGGCCUUCGAGUUCUAAAGCCUGAAGACAAGGCUGCUAGUUCUACGAAGUUCACGGAUCGUUGGCAUCGGGUUCGGUCACAAUGAUUAUAUUCGUGAGAAUAUAAGCACGCCGAACUGGCUCCAAACUAUACAGACACAAGUACUCAAAGAAGAUAUAUGUCUUGAUGGUAAACGUGGUUCGGCCGUCAAAAUGCCGAACUCUAAACCCUACUUGUGAAUAACCAAUCAUAAAUAACUCGGCGUUCAAUGUGCCGAGCCUAGAAUUUGUAACACUUCAUUUCGCCGAAAAGGCUAAUGAGAUGACUUCUACCAAUAAGGAUUCGAAAAUCCUUCUCGGUCAAGACUUGGAUAGAUAAUCAGUCGGUCUCGACGCAGUGUUGUUUAUCCAAACUAAAGUUGUUUCGCGGUCAGCUGAUUCUACGGCGGUAUUGCUAUUUAUCCAAACUGAAGAUGUUCGCCGAUUGCCUUCACAGUGCUGUUUAUCCAAACUGAAAAUGUGUUGGCGGAAAAGAAAAUAAAAAAAAUCUCAAGGUUAUUGAAAGGUUUCGCGUAGAGCGAGAGUUUGCGCAGGGCAAUUUGUGUGUUGAGUUCGAGGCAUUUCAAUGUUGCAUUCAACUAUGUAUUUAUAGUGGUUGUCUUUUGCUUGACACGACCUGAUAACUUUGUAGAGUCCAAUUGCAACUCUAACUCGCAAACUGAAAUUGAUCCGUAAAUGCCAAGGCAUAUCCUUCAGAUUUCGUGACUUUCAAACAAAAUAAAGUCUAUCUAGGCUUUAUCACAUCACAUCAUAAACCUAGCCCACCUAGGAUUAUUGUCUCAUCAAAAACUCCAUCAGAAGCCUUUAAACUCAUCUGAUGACUUCCAUCACCAUGCAAAAAGAGCCAAGCCACCUUGGCUUCUUACCUCAUAUUAUCCAAGACCAUCAAAUCUUAGACUUAACACAUCACCACCAAAAGCCAGGCCUAUCUAGGCUUCUUCAUAAUCUAUCCAUGUAUGCAUUAAUCCAUUUGUAGUUGUAUGAAAAUCAUCUUAUCCUGCAUGCUUCAUUAUCUGAUGCCGCAUAUAUCCCAAUAUUCCAUUCGUUCAAAUCAAUUAGGAUUUAGACAAAUAUUAGGUUUAAAUAAUUUAAUAUAUUACUAAGAGAUAUUAUCAUGAUUAAAAUUACAACAUUAUUUCUCAAUAAUAAUUGAAAAUCGUUUCAACCACUUUGUCAUUUAACGAUAUAAUAUUCUGCUCAUUCAACGGCCUCAAUUGCUUGGGCUGAUAAUGUAAUUUUGGGCCCAUACACCGUGUCAAGCAAAAGACAGCCACUAUAAAUACAAAGUCGCAUGCAACAUUGAAAGGCCUCGAACUUAACCCACAAACUGUCAUGCACAAAUUCUCGCUCUACGCAAAACCUCUCAACAACCUUGAGAUUUUUUUUAUUUUCUUUUCCCCCAACACAUCUUCAAUUUGGAUAAACAGUAUUGUGAAGGUAACCGGUGAACAUCUUCAGUUUGGAUAAACAGCACUGCCGCCAUAGAAUCAGCAGACCACGAAGCACCUUCAGUUUGGUUAAACAGCACUGCGUCGAGGCCGACUGGUUAUCUAUCCAAGUCUCAGCUGAGAAGGAUUUUCGAAUCCUUAUUGGUAGAGGUCAUCUCAUUAGCUUUCUCGGUGAAGUGAGGUGUUACAAAUUACUGAGCUCAGCACAUUGAACGCCAAGUUGUUUAUGAUUAGUUAUUCACAAGUAGGGUUUAGAGUUCAGCAUUUUGAUGGCCGAACCACAUUUACCAUCAAGACAUAUAUCUCCUUUGAGUACUUGUGUCCGUAUAGUUUGGAGCCAGUUCGGCGUGCUUAUACUCUCAUGAAUAUAAUCACCAUGAUCAAACCAAGUGCCAAUGAUUCGUGAACUUCGCAGAACUAGCAGCCUUGUCUUCAAGCUCUAGAACCCGAAGGCCGAGAUGUGUUCCUUCCUCGGCCGCAAUCGCAAGAUUAAGAAGUCAGCAAUGCGCAUCAACAUAUUUUACUCCUCGGCUAAGCUCGGCCGACGAGUUGGCACGCCCAUAUACAAUUGAAUGACGUAGUUAGCUCAUUAGUUACUUGGCAUGCGCGCCAUGUAGGCUUGAUAGUUUUUAGGGUUAACAAAUUUGUACGAGUUAAUUUGCAUUGUCUGUCGUAUUAGUUUAACUUGUUUUUUUUGCUACCACUUAGUAAUUCGGUCUAGUGAUUCUUCACUUAUAAGUGAGAGGUCUUAGAUUCGAUUCUCACCAAAAGUGAAUUUGAACCACUUUAUUGCUAGUCCAUUAUGAGGCUUAGCCCACUCCCCUAUCCCUAUGUAGAUAAUAUCGUUUGUUCAAAACAAAAAAAAAUUGUUUUCUUUGCUUUGAUGACUAGACAUCUCAUUCCAUUCUUUUUGGUUUUACAGGGUUUAAUCUACCAUUUUUGAGUCACCACCAUAGUACGGAUGAAGCCAAAUUUAAGGUAAUUUUUGCUUUAUCUAGUCAAUCUUCUAGUUAAUUUAUGUUGGUUUUCGUUUGGAUCCUAAUCAAGUUUUGGCCAACAAAGUGGAUGCUAACUAAAAUUUCAUAAACUAAUAGUGGAAACGUUGCAUGCACUCCAAAACUUGAAAGCAGUGGAAUUUUGAAACUCAUUUCUUUGGUAGAUUACCACAUCAAUUUCAAGAGAGUAUGUAGUACUACUUUGGUUUUCAUCAAAGGUUGUUCACACAACCUAAAGGGAGGGCCUUUUUCCUUCCUUUGCAUGCUUCAUCUGCAAGACCCGGAGAACACCCUUGGAAGAUUUUUUAGUUGCACCUAGUCAUCCCAUGAGUAGGUUGCCUACGUACCUCUUCUCCAAGAGGAUCAAAUUUUCAUAGUUCGCCUUUAGAACCAAGAUGCCAAUGGAUGGUGAGUAAGAGUGAUUAACUAGAAUAAUCUUUCUUACGAGGAGUAGGGUGGUGAACAACUACUAGACUAAAAACUCUAAUAACUCGAAACACACUUAGAAUGACUCAAAAUAAUGAAAACAAUCAAAUUAGACACUAGGAACUGAAAUGGACGGAAAUUGAAUUAAAAGACUAACAACAAUGAAAACUAACUAAAUAAUAUAAUUUAAUAAUGGAUGGGUGUUUGGUUUUGAUGAAAAGUAAAUUAAACUUAAUUAAAUUACAGAAUUGACAAAAACAUAAAAUUAAGGUAAAAUGAUAAAUGAUGGAUUAGCUAGAGGGUUCUUCUCCACACAUGACACAUAUGCAACCUAAAUUGAUUUUCAGUUGUUCUUUCAAUAAAUUGUGAAUCUCAAUACUCCAGAUUAACCGUGAACAGCACUUUUUUAAUCUUCAAGUUUUCCUUAAGUUAUUGAAUUGGACGGAAAAACGCAUACAACAAUUCAAAACAUUCUUCAAAAGUCCCCUAUGUGAAAAGCACAAUAGAGAUACAAUCAAAGAUCAUUAAACUUUGUGAAAACCAUAAGCAUUGACGAGGCAUUCGUAACUAUGAAAAUGAUACUCUUGCCAAGAAUUCACUUAACACGAUUGUGGAUAACAACCUUCACUACUUGUGAAUAUAAGUUCAUAACGAUUAGGUGAAAUUCACUUAUAUUCUAGCAUCAAAUUCAUGCAUGUAAAUUAAGUAUGCAUCCUUAAUCGACAUACAAAAAUAAGUUAUCAAUCAAGCAGUUAAGCAAAUUAAAUCACAACUCAGAAAUCACAACUGAAGGUAAUCAAUUCAUAUUACAAAUAUAUUCAUGGCUUUGAAUUAACCUCUAGCCAAAAUAAAUUAGUUACACAUUAUUAACAAAUUAAACCAAACGUAAAUUAUGAGUUUGAGAAGAUAACACCAAUAAGAACGGAGUGAAGCCCUCUGCCUCUGUGCUCCUCUUCUUCCCUGGCUGUCGCACUUUCUUUUUCCCUGAGGCUCAAGCUGCGCAAGGCAGCUUGCUAAUUCCCCCAAAAUCACCUCCUCAUCACUGCUCUCUGCCCUCUCUUCUAUAUUCUGUUUGGCAGCCUCCUGCCCUCCUUUUCCUUUAUUUUUUUAUUCUUUUUCUUUCUGGCAGCCUUGCUGCCCUUCUGUCCGUGACCUCCUUCUCUUCUCACGCUGCCCCGCACCGCAAGGCAGCUCAGCUGCUCCUUCUUUAUUUCCUCUCAGUCCGUCCCUUCUGAUUCUCACGCUGCCUAAGGCAGCUUCCUCUCACUUGCCAGCUGCAAAGCAGCUAUUUCUUUAUUCUUCUCUGAUCUUUCCAAAGCUGCAAGGGCAGCUUACUCCUUUCCUCUCUCACGCUGCCAAAGCAGCCCUCUCCCUUUUUCCUUUUCAGUCCCUUUUCCGCAUCUUCUCAUUUUCUUUUUCUCUCGCCAGGCAGCCAAGUGCUGCUUUUCCUCCGCUAGCUGCAAAGGCAGCUUCUUUCUUUUCUUUUCUGGCGCACGCUUUCUCCAAGUCGCUCCCCCUUUGCAUAUGCAUGUGCUGGUUUUUUAUUCAGGCUUUCAUUAGCCCACCUCACCAUCCAUACCUUUUCCAACGUCCUGCCAAUAUUAGUUUAAGUAAAUGAUUCAUCAUGAUUCCAUUAUCAAAAGUAAAAUUAUAUCCUAAGCUAGCUAAUUGUAAUUAUUAAAGAACACAUAGUUUGGUGUGGUGGAUAACUGCCAAUAUUAUUUCUCUGCCGUGUUCUUUCUUUUCUUUUUAUUAUUUAAAACUCAUUUGUGCUAUUUUUAUUUUCUUUGCAUAACAAAUCCUAUAAACAUAAAAAUAACGUAAAUAGCUCAAAAAUAUAAGGAACUAACUAAGAAAAGACGAGUGAAUUCGAAGUAAAAAUAUAUAUAAAUAUGAUCCGAUCAAAUACCCCCACACUUAACUUUUGCUAGUCCUCGAGCAAAACAAAGAAAACAUGAAAAAGAUUAGCUUCCCUCUAUGUGACCCUCAUAGAUUUUCAAUUAAGAAAACAAAUCAUCAAGAACCAUAGCUAGCAUCAAAGAACUAAUCCAGGUUCAUCUUCCUAAUUCAAAUAUUAGCAGUAAUCUUUGAAUCAUCCUUGAAGUGUAGUGUGUGAGAUAGCCAUGCUAAUGCAAUUUCAAGUUUUUAUUUUUAAAAUCAUCAUAUGCAAACUAGCGACCUUCUCACUGGAUAUGCACUCAAUCACACAUGUGUUUAGUUUUAAUGUGUUUCGCUCAAAGAAUCAAAUGUGAAAUUUCUACCAUAAGCUUGCAUAAAGAUCUCAUCUCCACAAUCAUAAUUGCAAAACUUAAAUCAAGAUGACUUUUAUUGGAUGUAAUGAGGUUUAGGGAUAGGGUUAUUGAAACGAAAGAAUUGGAAAACACAAGUUCCAAGCUACAUUGCAAGCAAUUCUUUUCUUUAGAUUUAUAAGAACUCAAGCUCUCCAGCAAUUCUUCUAGCACCUCCAACCAUACUCUUAAACUGAAACUUUAAAAACUUUUUAUUUUCUUUUUAUACAAUCUUUCUCUUUUCUUUUUUUCUUUUCUCUUUUUUUUUUUUUUUUUUUUUUUUUUUUUUUUUUAAACACAAACAUGAAAUACCCCACACUUAUUCUUUUGCCAAACAUCUUCACAAUACUUCACAAACGUUUCUCAUAAGACAAUCUCACAUUGCUCACUAGCUUGCUUGGAAAGGGUAAGGAAAAAUGCUUCAGGUAUAAGGGUAGACAUAUCUGGUGAUAAGAAAUAAAAGGCUCAACAUACACGGCUCAAAUUGGCAAUCUAAUGAUAUCAUUUUUCUUUGGGAAACAUGGUUAUUUGGGCCAUGGUGGUAAACCUAAUGCCUCUAUCAUUUCCAAGUUCAUGCAAUCAAUGACAAACAUUUCGAAAGAUCGUUACGCAAGUUCUAGAGAUGUAUCUCACAUAAGUUCAUCACACAUGAAAGAAUAGGAGUGUAUGAAAAAUGCACACACUUUCAAUAGGCUCAAAAACUCACAUAGGAUGUAUAUGGUCACUAAAUUCACAUAUGAAGCUUUAAGUCAUACUUUAGUUUCACAUUAACAAGGCUAUGUGCAUUUGGUUUUUCAAAGAUGAUCAAACAUGUACAAAACUAACAAGAGAAUUAGGAAUUUCACAAAACACAUGUUAACUAAGUUCUUGAUGAUCAUGGUUCAAAUUUGAUCCAAUUAUAUCAUUGGGUCGGGAAGCUAACAAAAAUCUAAUUCAAAACAAUAAGGGAAACAAGACAAUAUUUUUGGAUUUUUAAAUUUUCCGAAAUUUUUUAAAUUUAAAUUUUUUUUUUUUUUUAAAAGAAAACAAAACUAAUUAAGAACACAAAAAACAACAACACAGUUUUUUUAUUAUUUUUUUUUUAAAAGAAAACAAAACUAAUUAAGAACACAAAAAACAACAACACAGAAACAAAUGAAAUUCUGGAGAUUUCUACCCCCACACUUAAACUUGACAUUGUCCCCAAUGUCAGAAAACACUAUAACGCAAAUAAAAAUAAAAUAAAAUAAAUAAAUAAUAAGAAACAAAAUAAAGCAAUUAGACUGAAAACUUCCCUAAUUUGCAGUAAAGUCAAGCGAUGACCCCCAAGCUAAAAUUCUGCAAUCAACUUCAAGGGUAGAAAUAACCAAAAGUUCCUGCAAAGAAAAGAAAUAAUUCAGUUAAGUAACGCAAGAAAAUGUAAAAAAAAAAUUGCAAACGAAAAAUUGAAAAUCACGAUAAAAGACAAUGAAUAGAACUAAUAAGUGAUUAUUGGUCGUGCUUGUUGACUUUCCACAGCUUUCCUCUUGAACUGGUUUGGAAUUCUGAGCGAGAAUUGCACAGUCUGCAUUCUUCUCUGCUUGUUUCCUCUGCAUGGCGGGCAGGCACAAGGUAGUUGUGUUGGUCUGAUUCUUUCUUCAAUCUUUCCAAGUGCCCACCUCUUGCUUUCUUUCUCCUUGUCCCUAGCUGAGGAUGAAUCAGCACGUUGUCUCCACAUGCUUCGAGGUAUCAUUUUCACCUCCCUUACUUGUCCCCCAAGUAGAUGUGGUAGACAAAACGGAAGCAUAAGAUGAAGAAGAUGAGUACUCGAGAGCAAGGCUAGGUAAGCAAUCAGGAAGGGGUUCCAGGCAGUUGGCUCCAGAUCGGAAGAUUUAUACCAAGUGCUGGCUGAUUGCUCGCUUUCUCCUUGUCGGAAAACAAAGACAAGGAGAAGGACAUGGAGAAAGCAUGAUAUGAGAUACUCUUGCUUUCAACCUUUAUGAUAUGAAAUACUUUUGCUUUGAAUGGGUUGUUCGCAGGAGUAUCCCAAGGAAUGAGGAACACAGAGUGACUCGAGAGGAUUCUUUGGGAAUGCAUUUUCGGAGAUGAAGAAGUGUUGAGAGGGUGUGCUGAGAGAGUGUGCUUUUGCUGUGGAAGGCGAAGGUAGAAACUUAUAGGACUUGUCUUCACAACCGGAACUGUUCUCUCACUUAGUGUCGGCAGCCGGUGGAUGGGUGAAGAAUACAAAUUACGCGCUUUCUGACAAAGCUGCCCGUAAUUUCCGCAAAGCUGCCAGUUGCAUGUGACAAGUGCUGACUAGGCUGAGAGAGACAGAUGGUUGGAAUCGGCAAUUCGACAGACUGCCCGUGAUUUUCGCAGAGCUGAGUUUGCGUGUGACGGGUGACAACACGUCUGGACGAAUUGAUCUUGCGAAAUCCGGGGUUCCGCUCGUGGUUUCUGAGCAAGCCCAACUUUUAAGAAAUGAACGCCUCUUUUGAGAAAAGAAUCCGGCUUUUGAGAACGGAAACUCCUCUUUUGAGAAAAGAAUCCGGCUUUUGAGAAAGGUGCCCGACUCUUCGAUUUGCGAGAGGACGCCUCUCUGAGGAGCGCCUCUUUGAUUUCUUCUUUUUAUAGAGGCGUUAAUUUUGUUCCACAACACACUUGAGCACCCUCCUGUAAACACUCCCUUCUUGCACUUGUUUAAUCUUGAUCUGUCCGACUCUCUUCUUUCUUCACCACCUCUGAAAAAUGUCUGGCCCUUCCGAUCGUCGUUUUGACUUAAACCUUGGUGAAGAGGCAGCUCCGCCUUCACCAGACAACAUAUGGCGCCCAUCCUUCAUAUCUCCCACCGGUCCUCUUACCGUGGGGGAUUCGGUGAUAAAAAAUGACAUGACCGCUGCAGUGGUGGCCCGGAACCUUGUCACUCCCAGAGAUAACAGACUGCUCGCUAGACGGUCUGAUGAAUUGGCGGUUAAGGAGUCUUUGGCUCUUAGCGUGCAGUGUGCGGGUUCUGUGUCCAACAUGGCCCAACGCCUAUAUGCUCGAACACGUCAUGUUGAGUCGUUGGUGGCUGAAAUACAGAGUCUCAAACAAGAGAUUAAAGGGCUCAAGCAUGAGAAUAAAGAAUUGCACAAGCUCGCACACAGCUAUGCCACCAGCAUGAAGAGGAAGAUUGACCAGAUGCAGGACACCGAUGGUCAAAUUUUACUUGAUCAUCGGAGGUUUGUGGGUUUGUUCCAACAACAUCUGCCUUCGUCUUCUGGAGCGGCACCGCGUAGUGAAGCUCCAACUGAUCAACCUCUGCCGCCUCCUCCUUCUGUGGCCCCGCCGACUGCUGAAGCCCCGCCUACUACUGAAGCACCACCUGACCAAUGAAUGCUUAUUAGUUUACACAUCAUUGUAAAAAAAUGUUUAUUUCUAUUUUUUUUUUUUUUUUUUUUUUUUUUUUUUAAAUCAAUGUAAAAUAUGUAAAUCAAUGUAAAAAGACUUUGGUUAACCUUCCCCCACACUUAAACUAAAUAACACAAACUCACAGAAAUCAACCAAAUAACACAACUAACUAAACAAAACAAAAUGAAAGCAGUAAAGAUAAGGGUGUAAGAAUUCAAAUCUGAUUUGGUUAGCGAUUCCAAAGUCUCCCUUCGUUGAAUGCUUGGGUUGCCUCCCAAGAAGCGCUUGAUUUAACGUCUUUAGCCGGACGAAUCUUUCCUUUAACCUCCCCUCGGCUCCAAAGCAUGGAAUUUAUCUUUUAAUGGGAGGUGAUACUUGAAAUGAUUCGGCAAUGGUUUAAAUUCAAGAGUGGGUGCCUGAAUCAUCAAAAUCAGAAACAUGUUAGUAUAAAUUAAAAUUGAAAUUGGAGAAGAUGGCUUACUUUCUUUUUCCGACACAAACUCAAUGACAAACACCACAUUUGUGAACAUUUCAGGGACUUUGAACUUGGCCAGGUUUACUAUGAUGGUUGUGGCUUGUCCCGUGUCAUCAAAUUCAACUGCUUUGGGCUUGAUUGUCUCAUGCACAGCCUCUUGGAUGUAUUCUUGAUAUGCUUCAACCACUUCAUUUUCUUGAAUCCCUUUUCUUGGUGUGCAAGGUUCUUUGAAUGUUUCAAUACCAUCGGGAACUUGUUUUGGUGCACCAAGAAUUAGGAUAUCACUUUGCACCUUUGGAAGAGCUUCCACAAUGUCUUUUUCACUCUCUUUGAUAUUUGGAAUCAAAAACCUGCAAGGAAAAAUGACAUUUGGUGGACUAAUGUUAGAAUGAAGUGAAUUUAGAACUUCCUCACCUGAGUUGGAUGACAUAGGGAUUUGAGGAGCUUGCAGCAAGAAUUCUUCUAAACUGCCCAGGUCGUCCUCCUCCUCUUCUGCUUGCAGCAGCAAUUCAUCCAUGUUCGGGCUGUGUUUGGAUAGUUCUGGGAUAGCUUCAUCCUUCAUGUCACCUUCCAAAGUGAUGGCUUCAUCAAUUUCACUUUCUGCCUUUGAAUUUGCAAUGUUUGAGUUGGAAAGUUCACUUUGAUCUCGAAUCUGUGCCAUGAAUUCCACAAUCUGCCCAACUUGCAUUUCCAAUUCGUCCACUCUUUUGACUCGGUCUUGCAUCUCCUGGUUUUGAUUUUCUACUCCCUGAUUCAAAGAGGUGAGUAACUUAUUAAGUGUAUCAUUAUCCAAGGAUGUACCUGAAUUGAAUUGGGUUGAUUGUUGUGGUGGCUGUGACGGUUCAUAUGGCCACUGAUAGAACUCUUCCGAUGGCGGCAAUUGUUCUUCUUUUCGUAAACCCUGCGCCACAGAAAUUAGUCCUUCAAGAAUUUCAUUAUAAUUCAUGGGCAUACUUUGAUUUGAUUGGAAUUGUUGUGGGGAAUGCUGUGGUGGCUGCAUAGGUCUUGAAUAGAACUUGUCUUGCUGCCAAUAUCCACCUUGUUGAAAUUGUUGAGGUUCAUCCCACAUAUAAUUUGAAUGAUCUCUCCAAGCCGAAUUGUAAGCGUUGGAAAACAUGUUGUUGCUUGGUUGAUCAUAGCCUUGAUAACCCCAAGCAUCUUCAUUGGCAGAAAAUUGAGGACUUUGAUAUCCUUGCCCAUAGGGCACAUCAAGUGUAGGGACACUUGGCAUUGUGGUCCGUUCGGCAUUAUGAGUCAAUUGAGCAGUGAGUUGUGCCAAUUGAGCUUGAAUGGUCGCAAGUGCCAUGUCUCGCUCCAUUUGUACCUAAAAUCAAAGAAAGAAAAAUAAAUCAAAUAUCAAAAGUAAAAUACACAAACACCAAACAUCCCAAUAAAACCCUAUGGCCGGCCAUAUUGAUAAAGGAGUGGGUUUUGGACUUAUUACAAGUUUGCCACUCCAAUGAAGGUACGUAUAAAUAUGACUUUAUAGCCUUUUCUUCAUUAGGGUUUCUUUAGGAGAAAAGAUGAGAACACAAUGUCUCUCCCUUUCUCUCUAGGAGGCUGGCCCCCUUAGAGGAGAUUAGCUAGCAAUCUUCUCUCCUCCAAGGUCACUCAUCUCUUCUUCGAGUCUCUUUCUGGUGUGGAAAAAUUAAAGGUUCUUAACUUUGGGAACUUAGAGAAUCCUUUCAACCAUCCUCAUCCAAGAAAUCCAUGGAGCUAAGAAGCAAGGAAUGAAAGCCCUCUCCUUGAGUGAUUAGCCUUUGCUUAUGCAAAGAGGAAUCAACAAAGGUAUAAGAUUUCUCAACUCACUUUGUUCUUGAGUUGAGUCUUGGUUCACCCUUCUACUAGGCUUUGAAUUUCAUGGGCAAUGUUUUGUUUUUGAGUGCAUACAAGCAUGAUUCCGCCUUUAAUUGUUAAUUGCAUGCCAUAGAUGUUGCUCAAAAUUUCCUUCACUUAUCACAUGAGCAGGAUAUUCUGAUGGCAUCUUGGUGGAAUGUUGGCCAGUAAUAUCCUUGGCGAAAAGCCUUGUAUGCUAGGGAUCGAGAUCCAGCAUGAUCUUCGGAGACUCCUUCAUGUAUUUCCCGAAGGACAGUUUCCACCUCUGCGGGCGUAAGACAUCUUAGGUAUGGUAGGCUAAAACCCCGCUUGUAGAGUUGGUCAUUAAUGAUCAAGUAACGGGUAGCCUUGUAUCGAAUCUGCUUAGCUUGGACUUUGCAUUUGGAAGGGUGCCAUGAGCAAGGAAUCUAUAAAUCGGGGUAAUCCAACUAUCCCCCUGUUGUAAGUUGCACACUUCCGCAACCAUGGUGCUUGGUACUGCCAACAAUUCGACUUGAAUUUUUCUCCCAAUCUUGUCUUCCACCGCUGAGGCGAAGCGAGCCAAAGCAUCUGCAUGACUGUUUGCCGCUCGAGGAAUUUGGGUGAUCUGGUAGUGGAAAUGCUUAAGCAACAAUUGUGUUUGUGCCAGAUAUGCUACCAUGGAGCUAUCCUUAGCGUCAAAGUUGUUGGUGACCUAGUUAACCACCAAUUGGGAGUCAUUGAAUAUAUCAAUUUGUUUAACCCCAAGGUGUUUGGCCAAACGUAAGCCUGCUAGGAGGGCUUCAUAUUCGGCCUCAUUGUUCGACACAUUGAAUUUGAAAUGAAGAGCAUACUUCAUCGCCACUUUGUCAAGGGUCGUAAGGACUAGUCUUGCUCCACAACCCUGUUGGUUGGACGAGCCAUCAACAUAUAGACUCUAUGUUAGGGUUGUUAGUUCUAUUUUCUGAGCUUCCGAAGGUAAUGAAACCAGCCAUCAACAUAUAGACUCUAUGCUAGGGCUGUUGGUUCUAUUUUCUGAGCUUCCGAAGGUAAUGAAACCACUUCUUUAGGCGUAGAAACAAUAUCAACAGGAUAUGUGAAGUCGGCGAUGAAGUUUGCCACUACUUUGGCCCUUCUCAGCAGGCUUUGGUUGGUAGGAGAUGUCAAACUCACCCAAUGCUAUCGUCCAUUUUAUCAUUCACCUCAAAGUGUCAAGACUUUGAAGUAUCUGUCGAAGAGGAUGAUUGGUAAGCACGAUGAUGGAGUGUGCUUAAGGGUGAAGUUUUUUAGCAGACAUGACCAAUGCUAAAGCCAAUUUCUCAAUGUUGGAAUAUCAUGUCUCUGCAUCUUGCAAGGCCUUGCUAGCAUAGUAGACAGGCCGUUCGACAUUACCAUCUCCUCGAAUGAGAACAGAACUUACUGCCGAAGCCGAUACUUACAGAUAGAUAAUGACAGUGUCACCAACCUCAGGUUUGGAGAGCAUAAGGGCUUUACUCAUGUAGUCUUUGAGGUUUUUGAAUGCCUCGGCACAUUCAUCAGUCCAUGUAAGGUACUUCUCACUUCCCUUAAGUGCUUUGAAUAAAGGAGCACAUCUGUCUGUGGCCUUAGAGAUGAACCUAGUUAAGGCUGCCACCUUGCCAGUAAGGCUCUGGAUGUCUUUUGAAGUUACCGGUUCCUUCAUGUCGAGGAUUGCUUUAAUCUUCUCGGGAUUAGCCUCAAUGCCUCGUUGGCUUAUCAUGAAGCCUAAGAAUUUGCCAGAGCCUACGCCAAAGGCACAUUUGUUGGGGUUCAACCUCAUUCGAUACCUCUUCAGAAUGGUGAAAAUUUCAGAUAGGCUAGCGAUGUGUUGGUUAACAUGUUUGCUCUUGACUAGCAUAUCAUCAACGUAAACUUCCAUGUUUUUCCCAAUCUGUUCGGUGAACAUUGAAUUGACUAGUCUCUGAUAAGUCGAUCCUGCAUUCUUUAGGCCGAAGGGCAUGACUUUAUAGCAAUAUAGUCCCCUAUCAGUAGUGAAGGCUGUGUGUUCUUGGUCCGGAGGGUUCAUGAGGAUUUGGUUGUAUCCUAAGGAAGCAUUCAUGAAGCUCAGGAGUUCACACCCUGCCGUAGAGUCUAUAAGUCUGACAAUGAGAAGAAGAGGAAAGCUAUCCUUCGGGCAUCCUUUGUUUAGGUCGAUAUAGUCGACACACAUUCUCUACAAGACCUUUUGGAGCAAGAGACUUUCUUUGGUUAGAUUUUUCUUAACAAUGACCACAUUUGCUACCCAUGUUGGGUAAUUGACUUCCCGGACGAAGCCUAUGCCUUUGAGUUUUUCAACUUCUGCCUUCAUUGCUUCAUAUCGUUCAGCGUCAUAAGAUCUUCGCUUCUGUCUCACCAGCUUGGUCUUGGGGUCAAUACUCAAGCGAUGACAUAUGAUAUCGGGAAAGAUGCCUGGCAUGUCCUCGUAUGACCAGGCGAAGACCUCAAUGUUCUCUUGCAAAAAAAAUAUCAAUGUCAACUGAAUAGGUGGUGACAAGGUGGUGCCAAUCUUCACCAUGCAAUAUGGAUAAUCUUUUGAUAUAGAAACCUUCUCCAGCUCUUCAGCGAGUUGUGCUUGCUAGGUGAAAGAGUCAUUUCGAGGAUCGUCGGGUUAACUGUUGCCACCGUGAAGAUCCAAGUUGGCUUCGUCCGGGCUUGUCUUUAUGACUUGGUCAUGUAUAGAAAAGGUUUCCUUGGGCACAGGCAGGUGUUGUUGCUUGACCGAAAUGUUGUAACAUGAUCGUGCACUAAGUUGAUCUCCUCUGAUGUAACCAUUGCCAUAAGGGGUUGGAAAUUUCAUCAACAACAUAUGUGUAGAUACCAUGGCCUUGAGAUCAUUGAUGCCUGUGCGUCCAAAGAUGACAUUGUAUGUCGUUAGGCAAUCAACUACCAGGAAGUUAGUGGUAAUGGUAGCUGUGUAAGGGCAUGUACCAAUGGUGAAAGGUAAGUGUAUGCUCCCUAUAGGUUGCACGAUAUCACCGUAGAAGCUUAUCAGAGGAGAAAUCGAGCGAUCAAGCAAGUUUUCAACUACAUUAAGUGCCCUGAAAGCUUCAGCAAACAUGAUAUUGACCGAAGCCCUCAUGUCUACCAAGAUUCGUCUUACUUCAAAGUUGGUUAUGUGAGCCUCCACGAUCAAUAGGUCGUUGUAAGGGUAGAUGAUACCUUUUUCUUCCUCAGGGUAGAAACAUAUUGGAUCCUAGUUAGGCUUUUGAUAUUUGCCUCCCCUGAUAUCUUCCACGUGAAACACUUGGUGGCCAGGCCUUAAAGCUCGUUCGCUGUUUUUCAUGGCCCUAUUAGAAGAUUCAGAUAUGGGUAUGCCGCCGCUUAUGGAAUAUAUCACGUUCACUUGGUGUUGGUUAGGUUAUCCCUUAAAGGGUGAAGAAGGAAUCGAUCAAUUUUUCCUUCACGCGCCAAAGCUUCAAUAUGAUCCCGAAGGGUGAUACACUUCUCGCUGCCAUGGCCGUUAUGCUCGUGGUAGCAAUAAAACGUGCCCGUGUUCUUCGUGGGUUUGUAACCCGACUGCCUCGGCAUUGUCUUCGGUAUCAAGUGUGUUAUGCUGGGGUAAAUGGCCACGCAUGUGGCGUUGAAAGGUGUGUGUAUGUCUCAUACCUCGGGGUAGGGCCUAUCCUGACACGUGUUUAGCCCACUGUGUUGACUGCCUAGGGGCGAGCAUUAUCAUGGCGAUACCCUUGAUUAUCGCGAUAGUGUCCUUUACUCCUUUUACUAAAAUGGGACUGGUGAGAAUGGAAAUCUUUCCUUUUGCCCUGAGAUUGAUAUGUAUGUUGACUUGGUGAAGUAUUAAGUAAGGAAAAAUGAGGCACUGCUGCCGUUUGGAAGGUCAAGGUCUUCUCAUUUGGUUGGAUCUAGCUUCCACUCCCAACUUGCUGAUAAGGGGUGGCUGUGGGGGUUUCCCUUGAAAUGUCCUUACCUUAGCGGAGGCAUGGUUGUAAGCAUGUGCCAUCACCUCAGAGUAAGUCUUCCAAGUGUUGUCAUUGAUCAUGUACUUGAAGAAACAAUCACGUAGGCCUGCCGUGAAGGCUUUGAGGGCAGUCUUGUCGUCUGCCUCGGCACAACGGGAAUACUCAUAGCUGAAGCAGCCAGCAUACAUACGUAAUGACUCGUCUGGCUUCUAGCGAAUAGUGUACAAGUCAUCCACAGAGUGCAAGCGAUCGGUCUAGAAAAUGUGUUGAGAAACAAACAGUUUCCUCAAUUCCUCAAAUGAGUCUACUGUCUUAGCUGGAAGACGACAAUACCAGUUUAGAGCUCCGUCAGAGAGGGUGUAAGGGAAGAGAAGGCAUCGCUCUUCGUCGGUGUGCAUCCGGUAUGCCAUGGUGGACUCAAAUAGGUUAAGGUGUUCAAUCGGGUCCUUCUUUCUAGUAUAGAGUUGCAAGCCAAGCUUCUGCUUUGUCUUUGCUUGGAUGGGGGGUGUCAAGGAUCCUCCUUGUAAGAGAGCCAGGCCUAGGUUGGUUCCAAUCAAGUAUCUCAGCUUGUCGUUCGACCUUCAACUUGUUUACUUCCUUAAGGAGAUGUAGGACAAGAGGGUCCUAAAUGGAGUCAUGUACCACUGGAUCUUUCUUUCGAUCUCCUCUUGGAAGUAGGAAGGUUUGAUCAAGAGCAUGUGAUUUUUCCCUGGACUCGCCGUACUGACUUCCAAGGUAUGUCUAUCGGAACAUCUUUGAGUCCCCUAUACCUUCGUGUUUCUCUAAGACUUGUUGCCCCUUCCCCAAAUUGGUAGCCGGCCUGGGACAUGGGAGGGGACCGAGUCUUUCAGAGACCCUUGGGUCAUUGAUCUUCGAGCUUACAUGGAUGGGAUUGUCUCGACGUUGCUUUAGGAAGUCUCGACAGUCGCGAAAGACGGUUUUCGAUCCUUUCACUCCUUCUGUAAGGAGGUGUCUUCCUCCACUCCUCCUGCUUCGGGUCAAAGCAACUAGGUUGAGAGAAGUCUCAUGUUGGUCGCCAUUUCGAUGAGUAGCUCGCUUCUCAACGGGAAUACCCAUGUCGAGGGCAAAUGACCCUCCAUGUUGGGGGGCACCCAGUUGAUGGUUGACUUCCAUAGGGGUGAUGAGCUCGUGUGUUUUAGUAUAUCUAGCCUCAUGGAGCAUCUCGAAGACCUUCUUAUACUGCUCUUAGAAGAUCUCAUUCUUCAUCGUUAUCUUGUUGUUCUGAGCCUCCAGCUCAUCGACUUUAGCCUGAAGAGCAAACUUCUUUUGUUCCUUCUUUCGUUGCUUCGCACCAGGUGCAAGAUGGGUGUCAUUCUGUGUGUUGUGGCUUCCUUCUCUCCCCAUGUUGGAAAGGGAUGUCUGGUCAAAAGAGAGUGUACGAAUGGUGGAAACCAGCUUAACAAAGUUGAAGAGAAUGGGAAUAAAUGUCGUUCCCACAGACGGCGCCAAAUGUUGAUGCACAAAAUCAGUGAGGACUUUGGUACAAUAGAAAGUGUUAGGUUUGUGACCUUCGCUAAAUUGUUCCGGUCACUAGUGUGGAUAAGUAUGUAAAUGGAUAGAGACAGGGAAGCAAACACAAAAUGUACGUGGUUCACCCAGAUUGGCUACGUCCACGGAGUAGAGAAGUUCUCAUUAAUUGUGAAGGGUUUACACAAGUACAUAGGUUCAAGCUCUCCUUUUGUGAGUACUAGUGAAUGAUUUAGUACAAAUGACAUUAUGAAAUAUUGUGAGAGAAUUAUCUCUAUUUAUAAAAGAGAGUUUCUAGUUUUAUUCUGACAUUGACACAUGUGUUGUGAUUGGCUUAUGAUGUUAACACGUGUCGCGCUAUGAUUGGCUUCUGAUGUCGACACGUGUCGCAUUGUGAUUGGCCUCCUGGUUGGAAGGAAACUCUUCUGGGUGGGUCCUUGACGGUAUAAUGUUGACCGAUGCUCAGUAGUUUCGAGAUUGAUCAAGUAUAAUACAAACAAAGUACAUAUGCACUUACAGCCUGAUACUAAUUAAAUGCACCUAUAUUCUCAAAAAUAUAAUUGAGUCAGCCAAACCUAAUACAGAAGAUCCUGAACUUUGCAAUGAACUAGACAACCUUGUCUUCAAGUUCUAGAACCCAACACAGAGUAGUCACUUAAAUGUAGAAGUCAACAGAACAUGCCACCACAUAUAUUCUACUCGCCCGACCAAGCUUGAUUGCGAGUUAGCACACCCCUAUUCACAAAGACGUAAUUAACUCAUAAGUUACUCGGCAUGAGCGUCGUGUAGGCUCCAAGUCUUAACACAUACCAAAUUAUUGUAUUAUUAUUAUUUUAUUUUUUAUCUAAGAUACGAUGGUUGGAUCAUAGUUUUGAUUGGCAUCGAAACAAUUUAAAGUACAAAUAAAACUUAAAUACAUUUGAUGUAGAAGCAACCCAACCCGCGUUAGUAGAAUUAAAGAAGGAACGUUCUCACACAAACAGUAGAAGGAACAAUUGGUUGGCGAAAUUGAUUACAAUUAUAACACUGAUUUUACUUGACUUGUUGCAUAUCCUCCUCCGUCUUCCAAACAACAUCCUCCAGGCCUGUUGCGAGGUUCUUAUAGAACUGCAAAAUUCAAAAACUACGAGUUUCACUAUCAAACUUACCUACUUAAGCCUAUUCCUUUGUCAAGACUAAAGACAUAUGCUCUAAUCACUAAUUUUACAUACGGCGUUGGUGUUGGCGUUGCCCACCAUGCCGGUUAAACAUAUUAUGAGAUAUCAAGCAAAUUAAGCGAAGAGCGUUACCUUGUGGAACUCCAAGGUGUCCCCUUUAGCUUUUCGCACUUCGACCAUGUGAAGAGAAGGUGCAACUUGAAAUAUCUGAUCAACACAGCAAGCGAUGUGUUAAAAACAAAAUAUAAACGACACUGAUCCAACUUUUUAAGCUCAAUAGAACUUUCCAUGUACCUCUGUGGCAACAUUAAGGUUUCCCUUUCUUCCAGCUUUCAUAUUUUCAAGCCUCAGCUGAGAGAACGAAUAUAAAAUUUGUUAUCUUCUUAACACACCACGCACGCACACCAAAUAGCUCAAAUCCUUAAAUUCCAACUUCUGCAUCUUCUCACCUUGUAGUUUUUUUUAUGCACGUCAAAACCAAGAGGCUUAGCAGCUUCUUCAAUUUUAUGAAUUAUCUCAUUGGCAGGGCAUUUGGAUGUGAACCUUGUUUCUCUCUUAAAUCCCUGCAAAUUUUGAACAAAACUGAAGUUUUAUUUUCCCAUAGGACAAAACAAUAGUAAAUAAUAUCAGAAGAAAACAAAUGCCUUUCAUACACAAAUGACAUUUAAAAAAAAAAUUAUUUCAACAUUUCACAAUGCAUGCAGUCCCCAUAAAGUGUUACAGGCAUAAAACUAUGCACAGCACAUGUUGCUAAUGAAAGCCAGCAAGCCCUCUAAUGAAGCAAACCUGUUCUACAUCAAACAAAUUCCCAAGGUUGAGCCCCUUCGACAUUGAAAUUAACUCAAAAGCAUUCAUAGCUACUGGUUGUUCUUCCUUUUUUUCCGUCACAUGGUGCUCCUGUCAUGAAGCCAAGAACACGUAUCAGACAACUUUUAGAACAGCAGCACUUCCUUCUAAUUCUUAACUUUUAACAAUGCUUAGCAACCAAAGACGUAAAUAAAAACCUUAAUACUGAUUAUGAAAAAAGCACUUGCACAUACUUCUGAAUCCUUAAAAACAGCUUCUACAUCAUCCAAGUUUGUAUUUUCUUUCUCCUCAAACACGGGUGCCUUGUAAUCCUUCUUGAACCAUUCAUCUUCCAAAAUUUCAGCAAUAGUGACACGCUGCCAUAACAAAUGAAAUCAUAGUCACCAACUAAAUAUUUGGUGGUAAGAGCACAUUCAGGGUAAUUCAAUACAAAGAAUUGGUCUGUGAUGAAUUCAGUGUUCUGGAAACCACUUGAAGAGUGCCACGAAGCAGACACUUUUCUUGUCAAGAAAAAAGAAGGCUCGGGAAAGAAUUAACAGCAUCUGGUCAUAUACAUGCUCAAUAUACUCAAACAAUCAGAUUGAUGCAUAUGAAUUAUGAAGAAAACCUUGCCCUGCUUUGAGCACUACCUCAGCAAUCUUCGUUUUGCUUUUUAUCAUGCCUCACCAGUAUAAACAUCAAAUACAUAAAAGAUAAAAUUAUCUGGAAUUCUUUAAUGCUAUGUUUGGAUGAGGAACUUCUAAAUUCUUAUUGUAACCUAAGUCCUAUGCACUAUAAAUAGGACUUAGGGUUAGUGUAUUUAGUGUGGCUCAUUCGUGUGGCAAUUUGGUGAGAGUCAAUUUGUGAGUUUGUGAGUUAGAUAGCAAUUUGGGAGAAUCUUCUCUGUUUGUUUGAGUUCUCUACUCGUUUGGUUUAGGGUUUGUAAUUUGUGGGAUUUGGGUUGUGAGAGUUUAAACACUCUUUUGUAAUCUCCAUUUGUUUUGUGAAAUUCCUCGCCGUGCUUCGCUCGUGGACGUAGGCUUUACGCCGAACCACGUAAAUCUCGUGUUAGUUUGAGAUUGUUUGUUUUAGCUUUCACCUACGACGUUGAUAUUGGUACUUUGUUAGAAUUCGCUUCCGUUUGCGCAUAAAAGUACAACACAUCUAACAUUAUGUUUUAAAAUGAAUAUGAAUCACCACCAUGUGUAAGUUACGAAAAGUGAAGCUAUAUUAUCAAAUAUAUCAAUUAGCAGAAAGGCCACAAUCUUAUCAACAGAAUGUGCAUAAACUACUUACAGUCAUAGGGUUAGGAUCCAAAAUUCGAGCUAUUAAUUUCAUGGCACCAAAAGAGAGCCACGGGGGACAAGUAAACUCAGCUGCCGAGAUCUGCAUACAUAGCAAAAGAAGAUAAUAAACUGAAUAUGAACAACGACGAUAUGUAGUUGCCAUACAGAAUCAGUAAAAUGCUCACUUUUUUAUACAGGUUCAUAAGAUUCGAAUCAUCAAAAGGCAAGUAACCUGCAAGCAAUACAAAGAGUAUCACUCCACAUGACCACAAGUCCGCAGUUGCCCCAUCAUAGCCUCUAUCGUUAAGGACCUAAGCUCACAGGAGUACAUUUUUGCAUGAUUAAGGACCAACGGUGUAUAAAGAUAAAUAUAUAUAAUGUGGAAGAAGAUUGGAAUGAAUACUUAUCCAUACCUCAGGAGCAACAUAAUUUGGAGUUCCACAGGUGGUGUGAAGUAACCCAUCAUCCUGCCAAUGCGUCACAGUAAGAAAUAAAUUCUGAAUAUUUAAGAUGCAUCAUCUCAAUCCCAAAUGCACCAAUUACUAGAACAAGAUGUGAAUGUGCAUCGCAGAUUACAGUGUUGAUGUAAAUGAUAAAUGAGGGAGAGACUAAAUUCCAUAUAACUCCUAUCAUAUAAAUGUUCUAACAAUUUUAAUAAUUUCUAGAGAUUUGACACCUGCUUCUGCAAAUAGUUACUUAAAGAUAUUUAUGCCGACCAUCCAGACAACAAAACUAACAUCAAUAAGAUAAAACGAUAGUUAUAUAUGAAUGAUGAAAGAAAGUUAAUUGCAGAUGGCCUAAUAUCAUUUAUACCCUGACUUGUUGGGAUAGUGCGCUCAAUCCGAAAUCAGAAACUUUAAGGUUCCCAUAUGCAUCCAAUAGCAAAUUUUCUGGCUGCAAGAAAAGCAAUGAAAAUGAAAAUUUAUUAACAUUUUACUGUAUUUAUCUGUGAUAUGCACGUUUACUAAGCAUAAGUACCUUGAGAUCUCUAUGAUAGACGCCUCUGCUAUGGCAGUAAUCAACUGCAUUAAUAAGCUGUUGAAAAUAUCUCCGUGCUUCAUCUUCUUUCAUUCGUCCAUUGUUUACCUUCAUAUCAAAAGUACUCGUGAGAAAAUAUGAACUCUCUCCCAAAUAAUCAGCGGAGCUUGAAUUUGAUUGGGUCAACAGAUCCAUGUACACAAAUUAGUGAGCAAGGCAACUUGGUAAUUGAAGAGAAUUUAGGCUAAAUGGGAAUGUUAGACUGCAGUAUUAAUUACAGUAUGUGAUUUAUUUUAGUAAAUUGAUAAUAAACCAUUUAUAGAAUACAACUGGAAGAAAAUGAAGACACUAACAAUUUUGUCAAAGAGCUCGCCUCCAGUUACGAACUCCAUAACUAUAAAUAUCUUUGUCUUACUCCCCAUUACCUGAAAAUACACAAAAUUAUUAAUACAGUUGCAUCAAAAUGUAGCGCCACUUUUACUGGUAGUAAAUGGAUUCAUCUUUCCCUUACAGGACACUUGUAUUUGCUCCAUAUUGACAUGAGGAGGGUAGAAUCCACAGAAAUGAGAGUAUUUAACACUCUACCCAUUAAAGAUUAAUACAUGCAACGGAAAUUGGUGACUAAAGUCUUGUUAAUAAUCUCAGCUGUAAAUUAUUAACAACUUCUUAUAAAGGUACCCGCAACGUGAUGUAAGAGGAUAUAGUUUUAAACAUUAUGGAUCAUGAACCAUAAAUAAGAAAGAAUUGGCUUCCCUAAUAAACUUCAGAACCUAUGGCUAACAAUUGAAAUCCAAAUUAUCAACUACCAAAAAAUACAACGAACCAGAAGAGGAAUUAAAAACUUAAAGAUGACACUGAAAUUGAAAUGUCACAGUUCAAAAUAAAAUCUGAUUGGAUUAGAUUUUUAACAACGGGCAAGCAUCCUUUAAGGCACGUCUUGAAGGGAUAGUGUAGCAACUUUAGGGGAAAAACAGAAAUAAGUUGGCCAUAUUCCCACAUUAAAUUGUGAACAUCCAUAUACCAAGAAGACCUACUUCAGAGAACCUGCAAGGUGAAUAUAGAAAGCAAACAGACCACAUGCUCAUGCAAGUAGAAGCAGAAAUGCAUAUAUACAGAUAGAGAUUGAGAGAGACCUCAUACAACUGAACAACAUUUGGAUGCUUAAUCAGCUUCAUUGUUUCUAUUUCCCGCUUGAUCUGCGCAAAUAUGAAAAAUAACACACUUAAAAGGACCUUGUUUAAACUCACUCCGUUUCCUGGAUGAAGCUACAUAAAAGUUUCGUUGGGGAGUUGUCUAGAGUGGUUUUGAGGAUAGGAAGCAAGAAUCCAUAUAAACCAAUAAAUAACAUGAAAAACAAAAACAAGUACAAGACGGAGAACGAAGAGAAAGCGCAAAGCAAACAGACCUGUUCUGCCAUCUUGUGCUUCAGAACCUUCUCUUUGUCAAGAAUUUUGAGAGCCACAGGCUCCCCAGUCUCAGAAUUUCUAGCAAACUUGACUUUUGCAAAUGUACCCUCACCGAUUGUCCUUCCAAUCUCGUAUUUACCAACCCGACGCUUGAUUUUCGGUUGAUUCAUUCUCGACUUAGUGAUUCAACGUGCGGGUUCCUGAGAGAACUUGCGUGAAAGAUAGAUGAGUGAAUUUUUUUUGUGACACUGUAAUGAAAUGAACAAAGCGAGGAGCAGAAACACUAGAACCAUAUCAUCAAGGGAAUUGCAAUUAUAUCAUCACAGUUGAGAUCCGAAUCCUGAUCCGAACUCUGGUAAAUUUAGAUUGAAAAACCAAACCAUGCAAACAAGAAUUCAGACAAGAACAAUACCGUCCACAAAAAUCACAAAGAAAACAAUCAAUCGAAGCAUCCAAUUCCACUACUAACCCAAAAUUAAUUAAAUUAAUUGUAUUUAUCAAUUCAAACAUGGAGUUGCAGCAGCAGCAGAAACACAAGCCCAGUACCGGAAACACAAACAAGGCACCCAAAUUGCAAAAACCCUUGCAAACAGAGACAAUAAAAUCUUCAAAUUCUUCGGGAGCAGCUCACAGACUGAGCGAUGAUAUUAUUUAUGCAUCUAUGACGUGAACCAACAACCACAAUUCAUCAAAUAUAUAUUUAAUUUAAUAAAUUAAUAAUACAAGGAAAAGGAAUUAGACGAAGAAAUAAAUAAUAAUAAUUCUCUUUAUUAUUAAAGAAUAUAAUACAAUAAUCAUCACGUUCCCGUUCACGUGGAUGGUCAUAUUAUUAUUGUAAACAAAAGCGAUAAAAAGUCGAAAAGAAAGACAGAGGGAGACAAUGAUUCAAUACAUACUUGAACAGGUUAUGACCACAAUCAAUCCGCCGCCGCCCCCGCCGCCUGGAUUUCCGUCCGUCCUUCCUUCCUUCCUCCUCGGCUGCCUGGAAAUGCAAUCACUUCACUUUUCACUUCACUACCAGACAACUCAAUUACUAGUAGGCUCACCAGACUAGACUCGAUUCCUUCUCUCUUCUAUCACUUUUCUUUUUUCUCUUUUUUUUUUUUCCUUUUCACUUAUCUUUGUAUUUUUGUGUAUAUAUUAUAAAAUAAAUUAUAUAUUAUAUUUAAUGAGGAAAAUGAAUAAUUGCGUCCUGUAUGGGACCCAGACCAGGUCGAGGUCCAUGCGUUGUGCGUUGUGCUUUGUGCGGUGUUGUACACCACAGUACAGCUUGCUUUCGCAUUCUAUCCGACUAUCGACUAUUGUAUAUAAUAUAUAAUGUGGUUUUUCGUGUUUAAUUGUAAAAAAAAAAUCAAAAUGGUAUAUAACCGUAUAAUAUACAAUGAACGGAUAUAAGAAUCAUAAGAAUUAUGGACAGAGUCAAUAAAGACCCACUAAAAACAUAUGCCCCAAAAGCACUUUUGUUGUGUCAUUCAAACUAAAAAACUUUUCUCCUGCUUUUCAUGUUUUAAUAUUUUCUCAUCAAUUUGUCACUUUUCAUUAUUACAUUGAAACUUUUGUAAAACAUUAUCAUUUAAAAUCAUUCUCAUUAUCAUAUUAAAUAUAAGUCAUACUAUAAUAAAAUUUUCUAAGUUAUUUUUCAGAAAGGGAAACUAAUGGAAAGGGUUUGAAAAUUUUAAGUUUUAAUGAUAAUGACAAAAUAAAGGGUAAAUUGAAUAGUACCAAGAUUGACUUUUUAAUGUAAAAAUGUGAUUUUUCCUUAAAGUAAAUAGUACUAAAUGCUUUUUGUAAAGUUUGGAAGCAUCCCCACUAAAAAUAAUUUAUAAUUUGAUUCUUAAUAAAAAUUCUCAUUGUUAGAAUCCGGAUGAGAUGUAAAUCUGCUUUUGUUUGUUUUUCCGGUCGAAGCUUCGUUUGUUGUGGAGCUCUCUCUCUUGAUAGAGGAUAGACUUGUACAGGACCCAAACCUAUUAAAUACCCUUCUCUCUCUUCGUUGAAGUUGAAGUUGACGUCUACGUCAUCACAUCGGCUACAUUUUUUUUUCUUUUUUUUUUUUUAUGCACUUGUGUUCCGUUUCUUCUUUCCUCUCUUUAGAUAUUUUUUUUUCCAGACCGCUUUACUCUUCAUUCAUCAAAACUACAUGAUCAAAAAAUCAUUUUUCCACUCUUAUCUGCAACAACAGUAUAAAUUAGUUUAGGGCUUUAUUUUUAAAUACUCUUUGAAAGUUAAUUUCAAUUUUAUUUUGUGCUCUGUAAUUCAAAAAUUAUUACUUUAUUUCUUGAAACUUAAAAUUCGUUCCACUUUAUUAUGUUUUUGUUUCUUCAAUCAAAUAACAGUUAGUUAAUGUUUUGAUCACAAUUGUCCCUUGAAACUCGAUUUUGAUCCCACUUUAUCCUUGAAACUCAUUUAGAAUCCGUUAUUAUAUGUUUGCUCUAGUUUUUGUUGUUUUUUAUGUUGUAACGGUUUUUCUUUAUCCAUGGGCAAUGAGUUUCGAUGUAUUGGGAGUAUCCGUAUUCAUAAAAGAUUUACUUUUCGUGCUUAUCCUAAUAGUUGGUUCAAUUUAUGCAUGGCGAAAAGGACCAUCAUAAUAGUCUUAGCUCUUAAAUAGUCAUUAACCAAUAAAAAAAAAAAAAAUUGAGACAGUUAUGACUUACAUUAUUUAAUUUCCUUUACAUGAUCGAACAACCCAAAAUUCAAUUAUUUCAAACUACAUCAAGUGAUCUUUCAAAUUGGUAAAGACUCUCCGGUUUAUAAGCGUUACUUCUUGAAAUUCAAUAUUCGCUACACUUUUACUUGUGCACUCUCUCUCUCUCUAUUCUCCCUGAAACUCAAAAGUCGUCCUCUUGAACAUAUGUGGGACCCACCACCAAAAAGAUUAUGACACAUGUAUCAAUGAAUUUCAUUAUAAAUCUCAAUUAUGCGUUAACAUUCAAUAAUAAAAAAAAAUUAAUUUAAAAGAAAAAUUGGAGUCAUUAUAAACCUCCAUUAUGUGUUAACAUUCAAUAAUAAAAAAAAUUAAUUUAAAAGAAAAAUUGGAGUUUUUUUUGUUGUUGUGCUUGAGUUGCAGAGAUGAAAAAAAAAUAAAAAGAAACUGAUUAGCCAGGUGCGCCAAAAUUAAACCCACAUAAAGGAAUUUGCUAAAAUUCCCCAGAUAGCAAAUCAAUCUUAGAGAAUAAGAGAGAGGGACAGGUUGGGUUGAAAGUAAGGAAGAAAGGAGGGAGUUCUCCCCGGCGAGAUGGGGUUGGUAGACGCCAGGAAACCGUUCUCAUCCUGUGGGUUUUGGUUCGCCACGUUACCUCUUUUUUUCACAUAUGCAUUUCUUAAUCCACGUCAGCAUAAUUGAUGGCUUUUUAACGAAAUUAACAUAAUUAAAGUAAUGUGAAGCAAAUUUUGAGGUUUAUGGAGUAAAAUGACGAUUUUUUAGUUUCAAAUGGCAAAGUGUGAUCAAAAUCGAGUUCCAGAUGGCAAAAUAAAAUCAAAAUAGCAACUUUAGUGACUAUAUAAAAAAGAAACGUAAACAUGGUAAAAUGAAGCGAAUUUUGAGUUUCAAGAAAUAAAGUGACAACUUUUGAUUUAUAGGGGUAAAGUGAGAUUAAAAUCAAAUUCUAAAGGGUGUAGUUAAAAAUAAGCAUGUUUGGGCUCAAAAUAUUAGUUUGGGCCGAGUAUAGAAUUAUUCUCGGCCCAGAAGGCCUUACGACAGGGUUCAGUUCUCAGGGAUCGGUUAGUUCUGGACCGGUUAGGUCGUGGGCUUCCAAAUCUGGGUCGGUUAUGCCAAGCCGCAAGACGAGUCGAAUCCUGGUGCAAUGAGGAGUCUCGGUAAGAUCAAUAACCCGGAAGUGAAUCCGGCUCAAUAAAGGAAUAGGUUCACAAUUAUGGUGAAAGUAGGACUGGUCGAGUGGUGUUUGAUCAGGAGAAGGAGUCCUAAUCCGAGUAGGGUUUUAACUCAACCUUGAAGGUAUCCGGUGCUAUAAAUAGAGGAGGUUGUGCAUCAUUCAAGCCUCUCCAAUUCAACACAUAACUGCCAUGCGCAAACUCUCUCAACAACUUUGAGAUUUUUAUUUUCUCUUUUCGCUGACACAUCUUCCGUUGGCAUCAACAGCACUGUGAAAGCAACCGGUGACAUCUUAAACCGGCAUAGAUAGCUCUGUCGCCGUAGAAUCAGUCGAUCUCCCAGCAUCUUCCGUUGGCAUCAACAGCACUGCGGCGAAGAUGGUUGGUUACUUAUCCAAGUCUCGGUUGAGAAGGAUUUCCGAAUCGUUAUUGACUGAGGUCAUCUCAUUAGCCUUCUCGACGAAGUGAGGUGUUACAAUUUACUGAACUCGGCGCAUUGCACGCCGAGUGAUUUUAUGAUUAAAUACUCUCAAGUGGGAUUUAGAGUUCAGUAUUCAGACGGCCGAACCACAUUUACUAUUAAGACUUAUAUUCUCUUUGAGUAUUUGUGCCCUUACACUUUGGUGUCGAUUCGGCGUGAGUUUACUCUGACGAAUAACAUCACUGUGACAGAAUCCGACGACGGCGAUUCGUGAACUUCGUAAGAAUAGUAGCCUUGUCUUCAGGUUCGAGAACCCAAGAGGCCGAGACGUGUUCCUUCCUCGGUCACAAUCGCAAGACGCAGAAGUCAGUCGCGCGCCCGACGCAACAUCAACAAAUUUACUCCUCGGCCGAGCUCGACCGACAAGUUGGCAUGCUCCGCAUUCACCGAUGGACGUAGUUAGUUUAUAGAUUACUCGGCCUGCACGCCAUGUAGGUUUGGUAGUUGUUAGGGUCAAUAUUUUGGCACACCCGGUGGGACCCAGUGCUAAACUACGAAGUUCAUGCCAAUUGAAACACGAUCGGUAAAAAAGAAAACAGCUAUGGGAAAAUCAACAGCCGAUUUACCAAUUCAGAAUAUAGGACACAGUGUGCCACAGGCGCAGAAUCCCAUCAGCGCCGUAACACCUGAGUCCACGAGCGCGACUCGCCGACAAAGGAAAGUUAAUCUCGGCGGUCAGUUUCGCAGUCUUGAAAUCGCUGACAAGAACACCUGCGUUCUCAAUGAAGGGAUAAUAGAGGAUUGUGACGAGGAUGGAGGCGAAGGAUAUGAUCCACCAACAAGGUCAUUUCUUCAAAAACGGCUUGACGAGCAAUCUCGAACGAUUGAACAGACGUUUAGUCGAGGAAUCGAUAAACUUCAUGACGUGAUACGUAAUACCAGUGAGGCACAAACCAGAUUACUCGAAAUACUGGUUAGUAAGGUCAGCGACGGUAGGACUUUCGAUCUUGCCCAGCAUUUGCCACCGAGAAAUAAUCUACUACCAAGUGCACCGGCCAAGUCAAUCCCUGCUCGGCUCAAACCAAUUAACUUGAAGAAAGGAGGAGGAUCGAAUAGUAGGUCAGACGGAUCCGACCAGAGAGUGGAAGCAACACCCGUCGAUAUGACUGAGGUCCAACGGAUAAUCGAUUCGGCCAUGAAGAAAGGGCCGAAGUUCCCUAAGUUUAUACAUUUGUAUCCAGCUUAUGUGGAACAGUUCGAAUACCCUAGAGGUUUCAAAAUCCCGGAUUUUAGCCUUUUUGCCGGAGAAUCAUCUUUAUCCUCGUUAAAACAUAUAGCUCGUUUCACAGCGCAAUGCGGAGACGUCAAUAGCGACUUUCACAAGCUGCGCCUUUUCAAUUUUUCGCUGACCGAUUCAACGUUUGCUUGGUAUAUCAACCUCCCACCGAAUUCCGUCCAAAGCUGGGAGGAGUUGGUCGAGAAAUUUCAUGAGCAGUUUUAUCGGCUGGGGAUGGAAAUGUCAGUAUCCUCGCUAGCAAGGAUGUCUCAGGCAUCCGACGAGUCACCAAUGGAUAAUCUUACCAGAUUUAAAUCAGCCAGGAAUUGGUGCUGAGUACCUCUCCCUGAAGUCGAAUUCGUCAGACUUGCUCUAAACGGUCUUAACGUCGAAUACAAAAAGAAAUUCUUAAGGGCAAACUUUCGAGAUAUGUAUGAACUAGCCCAACAUGUUGAGCAGUAUGAUUAUUUGCUCCGCGAGGAAAAAUUUUCGAAAGCUCCAUCUCGAGGAACGAUUUACAAGAAUCCCACUGUCAAUUAUGCAUCGACCGAAGAUGAAUGCGUUAGCGUGGAUGCGGCUGAGAUAGUGAUAGAUAAGCCAUACAUUUGCAAAGCGCUGACUCAAGUUGACUCUAAGGAAGUCAAAACCCGCUCGACCACUGAAGAAACACUGAAAACGUCAAAAGUCUAUACUUUUGAUAUUACAAAGGCCGAUGCAAUUUUUGAUCAAUUGUUAUCAGCGAGGAUCAUCAAACUUCGGCCUGGGCAUAACAUUCCCAAGGCCGAAGAGCUUAAAGGAAAGAUAUAUUGCAAAUACCAUAAUUCAAGCAAACACACGACAAAUAAUUGCGUCGUGUUUCGAGAUAACAUCCAAAGCUGGAUUGAUAAUGGCAAACUUAGAUUUCCGGAGAAGAAGAUGAGUGUUGAUACUGACCCAUUUCCCAUGGCAACAGUAAAUAUGGUAGAUGCACACUUACCUAAGGACAAAGGAAAAGGGAAGGCCGAAGCCGUUACAACGCAACACUUUUUGAAUCAGAAUCCUCGGCCCCGUUUCACUGCCGAUUUCUGUUCAAACAAACCACAUACAGUUCUAACGGGACCUGCUACUGUUAAGCCUAUGACAAAAUACAGCACUGACGAAGAAGGUGGGUCGGCGCUGUUAUGCAGAAAGUGUAAAGCAAAUGUCAAUACCAAGCCAAAAGAAAAGUUAUCUCCGACUAUAGUGGAACAACCUACGGCCUCAACACAGCAAAAGGUGGUCAAUGUAGGCCAACACCAAGGAGUUUUUGAUAGGCUCGCCCUAAAGUGCAGGUGGAAGAAACAUCUCUGGUCAGACGGCGCCUUGAUUUUGAUGCCCCGUUUUAUGACAAAGAUUAUUACGUCCGCAAUUCUAGCAAUUCGGAAUCAUCAAAAAGCUAAAAAACUUUCAAACCUCCCGAACCUCGGGACCAGUAUUGGUAUACGUAUCACUCUUCGAAAUGUGUAUACACCGCAUUGUCCAAAUCCCAGAAACGUCGGCACCAAAGAAUAGACUGCAUGGCGCGCCGACGGGCAGCCCAAGAAGCUUCGAUCCCUAAAUGGUGGCCAAAGGAAACAGUUGCCAACGAUGAUGAACAACCAUAUCCAACUAUUAUGACAGAGCUGGUUCAAGGGAAACGGCUAGUCAAUCGAGAUGUUGAAACCAUAUUUGAAGAGGCUGAUAAACGAAUCAAACUUCUUCUUCGGCCCGGAGAAAUGAAGGCAUGCUUCGAGCAUUUCAAGAAAGAAGCUGAAAACAAACUGUCCCCGCCAACCACACAAAAACCUUUGAUCAAAAUUUGACGAAAUUUACAUCCGCCAUUUCUCAUGAAGGCCUUGGAAUAUAUGCGAGAAUUUCAUAAAAAACAUUCGGCCAACAAUUUAUAUGGUUUGUCGAAAGCGUGUCAAGAUACAAUCGAUCUCGUCCUCACUUGCUCGGAUGCCAAGCAAAUUAUUCAGAAUACCUCAGACCUAGGAUUGAAAGCUAGGUUCCAGCACAUACGAGAAGCUCGUGUUCUUGGCUUUGAAGUCAACCCAUAUACUGAUAUCGAUACAGCCGACCUUCCUUUUUCCAUGGAGGACCUUCAAUAUUUACGAUACCACUUCGAAGUUUUUUCGGCCGUUUCUCUCUUCGGCCUCACGGCCGAUGAAAUAACACGAGUUACACGGUUGGAUGCCUAUCUCAACACCAGGGAUGCCCGUAUAAUGUACCAAGAGCAAGCUCGUAUCCUGGCAUCAAUCCCAGACACAAUUCCGAUUUCAGACGCACCUGCGGCACCUGCACAGAACAACCAGGCUUCCGAAGAGACACUGCGGGAACAAACCAUUGAAGAAAGAGCAGAAGAGUCUCUUAGUACUACUCUGCCGUAAGUAGACGCCGCAAUCGAUGACCAGGAACGAGAAGAGAUGGAAGAGGGUGAUGGUAACCCAAUGGGCCCGUCGGUCCUAGAUAACAUGGAAAUAAGCAUGGUUCAUGUUUUACCUGCUGAUUUUCAGUCAAGCACAUCUCAACGGAAUUUCCUCGAUGGUGACGUAAUCUUCUUUAACAGUCAUGCAAUUAAAAAUCAAAUCCUCAUCAUUGUGUUGGAAGGUACCCUAAGACACAAACAAACACACAAAAAUAACUCUUUUUGGGUUUUUCAAAACAAUUUUUCAAAUUUUUAUGAGUUUUCGGAUUUUUAUGUCAAAACACAGUAAAAUGCACCAAAACAGCUUAAAAACACUUAAAAACAGCAAGGAACAACUUUGGAAGUUAUGGGUGAUAAAAUCCCACGAAUUUGCAAUAAAAACACUUGUUUACCCCCCACACUUAGACCAAACAUUGUCCUCAAUGUUUCAAACAUAGACUCACACAUAUGCAAGCAAACAACACAACUAACAAACACGACAAACAUGGCAAAGUAAAAACAAGAAAGGGCAGAGUUUAAGAACGCAAAUCUGGUUAUGGAGCUCGAAUUCCUUCAAUCCCUCGUUAGAACUCAUGGGUUGCCUCCCAGGAAGCGCUUGCUUUAACGUCUUCCAGCCGGACGAUACCUCCAUUUAAGCUUGAAUAGGGCCCACGGCAUGGAGGGGUAUGUCCUCCACGGCAUGCUCCUCAAAUGUCUCAUAGUAGGGCUUCAAACGGUGUCAAUUGACCUUGAAUUCAUGUCCCGUCUUCAAACUUUGAAUUUGGACUGCACCAUGAGGAAAAACAUUAGUAAUAACAAAAGGUCCAAUCCAUUUAGAACGCAACUUACCCGGAAACAACUGAAGAUGGGAAUUGAAGAGUAACACUUUCUGCCCUAUAGAGAAUGUCUUGCCACGAAUCAUCUUGUCAUGGGUGGCCUUUGCUUUCUCUUUAUAGAUGAGAGUAUUCUCAUAAGCUUCAUUCCUAAUCUCCUCAAGCUCAUUCAAUUGCAAUUUCCUAUUGAUCCCAGCGGCAUCAAUGUCCAUAUUGAAUGUUUUGACGGCCCAAUGUGCACGAUGCUCCAAUUCAACCGGAAGAUGACAUGGUUUCCCAUAGAUGAGCUGAAAUGGGGACAUCCCAAUUGGUGUUUUGUAGGCCGUUAUAUAUGCCCACAAUGCAUCAUUUAAACGCAAGCUCCAAUCUUUUCGAGUUGGUCCCACUGUUUUCUCCAAAAUUUGCUUGAUUUCCCUAUUCGAAACCUCGGCUUGCCCACUUGUCUGAGGAUGAUAAGGUGUGGAAACCUUAUGCGUGACAUUGUACUUCUUGAGCAACGCCUCAAUGGUUCGAUUACAAAAAUGGGAUCCUCCAUCACUAAUGAGCACUCUUGGCAUUCCAAACCUUGCAAAUAUGUUAGUUCUAAUAAAAUCUGCAACCACUUUAGAAUCAUUAGUACGGGUGGCUUUUGCUUCCACCCAUUUCGAAGCAUAAUCCACCGCAAGUAAUAUAUAAAGAAAACCAUGGGAGGACGGAAAUGGACCCAUGAAAUCUAUACCCCAAACAUAAAAAAUCUCAAUAGAAUAUAUAGGAUGUUGCGGCAUUUGGUCUUUUGAUGUUAUAUUACCCAUUCUUUGACAACGAUCACAGGUUAGACAAAAGGUUCUAGCAUCUCUAAAGAUUGUAGGCCAAUAAAAUCCACAUUCUAAAACCUUAUGUGCUGUGCGUUGUGUGCCGAAAUGACCCCCACAUGCAUAAGUGUGACAGAAAGUUAAAAUCGAAUGAAAUUCAGAAUCAUGCACACACCUACGUAGAAUCUGGUCAGGGCAAUGUUUCCACAAAUAAGGGUCAUCCCAAACAUAAAACUGUGCAUCCUUCUUGAGUUUAUCACGUUGGUGCUUAGUUAGGGUGCUUGGGACAUGCUUAGUGACCAAAUAAUUAACUAGAUCGGCAUACCAUGGCUCACUUACCUUAAUGGACAGCAACUGCUCAUCUGGGAAUGUCUCUGGGAUGGGCACGGCAUUGGCAUCUUCUUCAUGCACCAUUUGGCUCAAAUGGUCAGCCACCACAUUUUCACUUCCUUUCUUGUCCCGGAUUUCCACGUCAAACUCUUGGAGAAGUAACAUCCAACGAAUAAGCCUUGGCUUGGCCUCUUUCUUUGUGAGCAAAUACUUCAAAGCUGCGUGAUCAGUGUAAAUAAUAACUUUAGUUCCAAGAAGAUAUGAACGAAACUUAUCUAAAGCAAAUACAACAGCAAGAAGUUCUUUUUCAGUGGUGGAAUAAUUCAAUUGUGCAUCAUUCAACGUCCGGGAUGCAUAGUAGAUGACAUGUGGCUUCUUGUCCCUCCUUUGUCCUAAAACAGCCCCUAAUGCAUAAUCUGAAGCAUCACACAUAAGCUCAAAGGGAAGGCUCCAAUCUGGUGGGACUAUGAUGGGGGCCGAAGUUAGCUUCUCCUUUAGGCGAUUGAAUGCCUUCUCACACUCAUCAUCGAACUUGAAUGUCACAUCCUUUUGAAGAAGUCGGCAAAGGGGUUGGGAAAUCUUGGAAAAAUCUUUGAUGAAUCGCCUAUAGAAUCCUGCAUGUCCAAGAAAAGAACAAACCUCUAUCACUGAAGUGGGAGAGGGUAAGUAGCGUACAAGAUCUAUUUUUGAUUUAUCAACCUCUAUUCCCUUUGCAGAAACUAUGUGACCUAAAACUAUGCCUUGUUUAACCAUAAAGUGACAUUUUUCCCAAUUCAAAACAAGGUUAGUUUCAAUGCACCGGUUUAAGAUUAAAGUGAGAUUAUCUAAACAGCCAUCAAACGAAUCACCAAAGACACUAAAAUCAUCCAUGAAAACCUCAAUAAUCUUUUCCACAAAAUCUGAGAAUAUACUUACCAUGCAUCGUUGGAAUGUGGCUGGUGCAUUACACAAACCGAAUAGCAUUCGACGAUAAGCAAAAGUGCCAAACGGACAAGUAAAAGUAGUCUUUUUCUUGAUCAUCUGGAGCUAUAACAAUUUGAUUAUAUCCCGAAUAACCAUCUAGAAAGCAAUAAAAAGAAUGACCGGCUAACCUUUCAAGCAUUUGAUCAAUGAACGGUAAAGGGAAGUGGUCCUUCCUUGUGGUGGCGUUUAGCUUCCUAUAGUCAAUGCACACUCACCAACCGGUUUGGAUACGUGUAGGCACAAGCUCAUUCUCUGCAUUCUUCACCACGGUGACUCCUGAUUUCUUUGGUACAACUUGAACUGGUGAAACCCAAUGACUAUCUGAGAUGGGGUAAAUGACUCCACAAUCAAGAAGCUUGAUAAUCUCCUUCUUCACAACUUCCAUCAUUGGAGGGUUAAGUCGACGUUGAGCAUCUCGAGUUGGUUUAGCCCCCUCCUCUAGAAGUAUGCGAUGCAUGCAAGUUGUAGGGCUAAUUCCCUUAAUGUCGGCCAAUGUCCAUCCAAUUGUCGUUUUAUGCUCUUUUAACACCCGAAUCAACUUCUCCUCCUCCAAUGUCGUGAGUGAUGAGGAAACAAUGACGGGCAAUGUCUCGUCAUCUCCCAAAAAUACAUACUUUAAAUGGUCCAGCAACGGUUUAAGCUCAAGGACGGGUGCCUGAAUCACAGAAGGUAACAACUUGUUAGUAGAAACGGGAAUGGGAAUUGGGUUAGGAGGCUUACCAAGAUGUUGUGGCAAUGACUCAAGGGCAGCAACCAUCUCUUCUAUUUCUGCACUAGGAGGCACGGCAUAGGCAUCAUUAUUCUUGCCGUGAGUUUGCUCACUUGCUGCCUUUGGUUUGUUAAGUCCCAUUCCGUGUACUAUGGUGGUUUCAAGAGGAUCCCUCUCCAAUGAGUCAAGGUAGUCCUGCGCCAAAGCAUCAAAUACAUCAAUAGAGAAACAAGAAUGAUUAUCCUUAGGAUAUUUAAUAGAUUCAGAAAUAUUGAAAGCAAUAACAUCCCCAUCAAAUUCCAUUGUAAGUGUUCCUUUAAACACAUCUAUCUUGGUGCGAGCUGUUUUCAUGAAGGGUCUUCCAAGGAGGAUCGGCAAUGAUAUGGAAUGGCCCGAAUCUUCCAUCUCAAGCACAUAGAAGUCCGCUGGAAAUACUAAGUCAUUAACCUGCACCAAAACAUCUUCCAAAACCCCUUUCGGGUAUGCAUUAGAACGAUCGGCUAAUUGAAUUAUAACACCAUCGUUUUUAAGCUCUCCUAGGUUCAUAGAUGCAUAAAUAAAGUAGGGCAUGACGUUAAUGGAUGCACCUAGAUCUAACAUCGCAUGCUCAAACUUGGUAUUUCCAAUAACACAAGGAAUUGUAAAACUACCUAGAUCUUUGCAUUUUGGUGGUAGUUUUCUUUGCAAAAUGAUAGGAGCAUAUUUAUGCGCCUUAGUUAGUUAGUUCUUAUGCAUUUAUGUUGUGUUUUCUUAGUUAAAUUAGUCUUUUAAGCUAUUUUCAUGUGUUUUCAGGUUUUAGAGACAAAGUGAGCAAAAGGAAGCAAUUUGGAGCAUUUUGGAGCAAAAUUGGGCUAGAAUGGAGUUCAUGCAUAUGUAGCACAAGGGAUGGACGAAUUUGAAGGAUUGAUGAAGCUAGGAAUGUGUUUUGAAGUUGAAGAAUUGAAGAUACAAAGUUUCCUAGUUGAAGUAGGAAAGGGCUUACACGAAGAAUUCCUAAAUGGAGAAGGAUUCCUAAUCAAUGUAGGAGUCCUAAAUGAAGAUGGAUUCCUAGAGACAUGAAGUUUCCUACUCAAGCAAGGUUUCCUACAUGAAGAAGAAGAAUUAAAGCCAAAGAAUCAGCUCAAGAUAAGGAAUCUAUCCAAAACCUCAUCAUAACCUUAUCUUAGCUUAACUUAUCCAAACAAACCUUAUCCUAUCUUAUCUUAUCCUAAUCCUAAAUUAUCCACAUUCCAGCCACUUAGGAGGGUUUCUAACUAGAUUAGGAUGCUUAAAAUGGGAUUUCUAGAAGACCUAAUCCUUUCCUACAAAGGUGCCACACCUUAUCCCUUGUUUUUCUAGAAAUCAGCCACAAAAUAACCUUUCUAGAAGGCCUUAUCCCUUCUCCUACAAAAGUGACGCCCCAAACCUUUCUAGGACUCCUAGAAACCUGAUUAUUCCUUUCCCCCUUGGUUUCUAAAAGCCUUAGCCUUUUCCUUCAAGGAUUGUGUGUUAUUAUCCUAUACAAAUUAGGCUUUUAAAUCCUUUUCCUUUGCUACAUAGGGGCUGCGAAUUUCAGCCUAUAAAUACCACCCUUUGCUGCACCAUUUAGUCACCCUCCUCUACCAUAUUUUCACUACACCAUUCACCCAAACAUCCCUCAUUGUGCCGUGAGUUUGCAAGGAAAAGAAGGAAGAACUCUUGGAGCCGUGCAUGCCAUUCAAGGAGCUUGGAUUGUGGAGCGAUUCUAGGUGUUUUCUAUCUUUGUUAGAAUGUUUAAAUUUAUUUAUCUUUGUUUAUUUGCGAACAUGAGGAACUAAUUUCUUUAUAGUUAGAGGGGAAUUCAAAGCCAUGAUCAUAUGUUUUAUAUGACUUGAUUACCUCCAGUUAUGAUUUCAUGAAUCGUGAAUGUGGUUUACUUAUCUAUUUGAUUGAUAACUUGUUCUUGUGUGUUAAUUAAGGAUGCAUACUUAGUUCGCAUGCAUGAAUUUGAUGCUAGAGUAUAAGGGAAUUUCACCUAAUCGUUAUUAACUUAUAUUCAUAAGUAGUAAAAGUCGCUAGUCACGAUUGUGUUAAGUAAAUCCUUGGCAAAAGUAACAUGCGUAUCCCAUAGUUAUGAAUGCUUCGUCAAUGCUUAUGAUUUCCAUUGAACUUAAUGAUCUUUGAUAUGUGUCUCUAUCAUGCGUAUUCCAUAGUUAGGGUCCUUGAUAAGAAUAAUUUGGUUGUAAUGCGUAUCCCAUUCAAUUCAAUGAAUCUAGGGAAAUCUGAGAAUUAAUUGGUCAAUCUAGUUAAUUUGGGGCAUUGUCAUUCAUGGUUUAUUGAAAGAGUAAUUGGAAAUCAAGUCGUAUGCAUAUGUUUCAUGUGUGGAGAAGGAACCUUCUAACUAGCCUUUCACCAUCUUAAUUUUCAUCAAAACGUUUUUGUCUAAGUUUGUUUUCAAAGUUUCUGUUUUCAAAGUUAAAUUCGUCCAAAAUCAAUCCCCCUUUACUUAGUUGAGUCAUAGUAGUUAGAAAUCACUUUAGUUUGUGUUUUUAAGUGUCUUAGGUCAAGUUAAAACCAAUUUUCGUCCAAGUUUGUGUCUAGUGUUCAAAACUGCCCAGAUUGUGGUUUUAAGGCAGUUUUGAGUGUUUUUGGGCUGUUUUGAGUCUUUUGGUUUGUUUUGGUGUUUUAAAGUUUAGUUUUGCAUUCUUUGAGUCUAGUUUAGUGUUUUAAACUUGUUUUUACGUAUUUGAGUCAGUUUUCAAGUGAUUUUGCAAUCCCUCCUAAUCCCCGGUUUAGAACGAUCCCUACUUACAUACUUUGCUACAAUUGAUAAAAAGAGGGUUAAUUUGAGUGUCAACAUAAUUUUCACAUCAAAUUUUGGCGCCGUUGCCGGGGAUUAGCAACUUUGCUAAUCCCUUGGAUUGUUAUUUUCGUUUUUCUUAGUAGAUCAGAUUCUUAUGUUAUUUUGUUUCUUGUUUUAGGUACUUGUUUAUGACCCGGAGUUCUAAUCCGGUUCACGAACAUAUUUUAGACUUUGACGACGAUUUUGAGCGUGAGUUGAGACGGAAGAGGAAGAACCCGGAACCUAGUAAAUCAAGUGCAAGUUCCGAGUCCGUUUCUGAAUUUGAAGAGGAAGUGGAAGACAUGGCAGUGGACAACCCGAACGAUCAAGGAGCUUUCCGCUUCGGGAUUGGAUAAUGCCGCACCUCUAUGUAUCCAAUACCCUAGGGCAGCUCCGAACAAAACUGCCGAGUUCGAAUUGAAGUCAAGCUUGUUACAUCACAUUCCGAAGUACCAUGGGUUGUCCAUGGAAGAUCCGAACAAGCAUUUGAAGGAGUUUGAAGUCGUUUGCUCAAGCAUGACUCCGGUGAACGUGGAUGAGAGCAUCUUGAAGAUGAAGGCCUUCCCCUUUUCUCUCCAAGAGAAGGCGAAAGAUUGGUUGUACGAAUUGGCUCCCGGAACCGUCACAUCAUGGGAGAGCAUGAAACGAGCGUACUUGGAGAAGUUUUUCCCAACUUCUCGAGUCAUCCUCCUACGAAAAAGGAUAAGUGGAAUUCAACAAGAUGAAGGUGAGUCGUUUCCUACAUAUUAUGAACGUUUUAAAUCUCUUGUUGCUUCAUGUCCACAGCAUCAAAUGAAGGAGGAACUACUUCUACAAUACUUCUACGAGGGACUUCUACCAAUUGAACGUCAAAUGCUAGAUGCCUCAGCGGGAGGAGCAUUGGUGGACAAGACCCCUACGGCUGCAAAGAUAUUGAUUGCCAAUCGUGCGUUGAAUGCCCAACAAUACGAAGGCGUUGGACAAAGGAGCAACCCACGGCAACACCAAAUCAAUGAGGUAAGUGCCAUAACCGAACUUCAAAAUCAAAUGGCUAACCUUGCUACUUUGCUUUCUCAGGUGGUGGAAGGUCCAAAAGUGCAAAACGUGGCAGUUUGUGGCAUAUGCUCCACGCACGGACACCUUACGGACAAGUGCCCACAAUUGAUAGAAAAUGGAGGGUGGGAGACCCUCAAUGCCGUGGGAUUUGGCAACCAAUACCAACCGAGGAAUGACCCCUUCUCUAAUACCUACAAUCCCGGUUGGAGAGAUCAUCCAAAUUUCAAAUGGCGAGAACCCCAACAAGGCCAACAACAAAGCACAUUUAGGCAACAACCCCCGGGUUUCUAUCAAAAGCCGUUUGCAACCACACAACCUCAAGCACAACCCACCCAAACCAAUUCAGGUUCGUCCAUUGAUAAUGAUCAGAUUUUUCAAUUACUAACUUCUAUGGCGCAGGGUAUGCAAAAUAGAGACAAAAGGAUGGAUGAGUUAGAGAAGCAAGUAGGGCAGAUUGCGGAGUUCAUGGGCCAAUUUCGAGAGCAAGGCAAGUUGCCAAGUUCAACUGUUGUCAAUCCGAGGGGAGGAGUCGAAACUGCCAAGGCCAUCAUGCUAAGGAGCGGAAAAGAAGUAAGAACCGAGCCAAAACCAUCCAAAUCUGCUCUCAAGGAGGACCAGAAGUUGCAAAUAGAAGAGGAGGAGCAAGCAAAAGCCACGGCAAGGAUUGAGCAAUCCUUGCCGCAACCACCCAUGCCAUCCAAUUCGGCCAAUAAGGGUAAGGAAGGUAUAAUUCAAGUUAAUUCUAAUGUUAUUCCUCCGGAUGUACCCUUUCCUAGCAGAUUUUUGCAAGCCAAGAACGAAGAAGAGGAAAAAGACGUUCUUGAGACGUUUAGAAAGGUGCAUGUCAAUAUCCCUCUCCUCGAUGCUAUAAAGCAAAUCCCGAAGUAUGCCAAGUUUUUGAAGAAGCUUUGUACGACAAGGAAACGGAUUCGGGAGAAAGAGGUGGUACACGUAAGUGAGAAUGUAUCGGCAUUGUUGCAAAGAAAGUUACCACCUAAAUGCAAAGAUCCAGGUAGUUUCACUAUCCCUUGUGUUAUUGGCAAUACGAGGUUUGAUCAUGCUAUGUUAGAUUUAGGUGCAUCUAUAAAUGUCAUGCCAUAUUCUGUUUAUGCAUCUAUGAAUCUAGGAAAGCUUAAAAAUGAUGGUGUUAUUAUUCAAUUAGCCGAUCGAUCUAAUGCAUAUCCCAAAGGAGUGUUGGAAGAUGUUUUGGUGCAGGUAGACCAUUUGAUUUUUCCUGCAGAUUUCUAUGUGCUUGAUAUGGAGGACUCAACCCACUCUCCACCAUCACCACUCUUGCUUGGACGACCAUUCAUGAAAACAGCUCAAACCAAGAUUGACGUGGCCAAGGGAGCAGUAACUAUGGCCUUUGGUGGUGAUAUGAUUAACUUUAAGGUUUCUGAAUCGGUAGAGAGUACUAAUGAUGUUCGUUCUUGUUGUGCUAUUAAUGUAAUUGAAAAUAUAGGGCAGGAAUGUUCAACACUAGUCAAGAAGAAUGUACCACAACCCACCAUCGAGGAAGGAAUUGGAGUGAACAACAAAGAGUGCACGGCCCCAACCUUGAAAUCACCAAAUCUGGCCGAGUGCACCCCUUGUGCAUAUAUCCAUAGUGCUACCACUUCUUUGCCGUACAAAGGUAAGCCACCUAUUCCAAUUUCGAUUCCCAUUUCGACUAAUAGGUUGUUACCUUGUAUGGUGCAGGUACCUAAUCGAAGACAACGUGGUGGGAGAGUUCGUGUUGAUUUAGAGAAGCAAAACAUGACAAUAAGAAAGGAUCAUUAUCCCAUCCCAUUCAAGGACCCAAAGAAUGAAGUAUUUCGUAGGACAGGUGGUGGAAAAACCCCUCCAUGCCGUGGGGUUCCAUAAACCUUCAAUGGAGCAUCGUCCGGCUGCAAGACGUUAAAGAAAGCGCUACUUGGGAGGCAACCCAUGCAUUCAACAAAGGAAGACCGAGAAAGCACUCCAAUUCCAGAUUUGCGUUCCUCAACUUUUCUCUUUGUUGUUUAUUUCGUUUCUGCCAUGAUUAGUGUGUUAGUUGCUGUUUGCUUGUUUAUUUGUUAUUUGUGUUAGUUUAUGCUUGAAACAUUGAGGACAAUGUUUGAUUUAAGUGUGGGGGGGUACACAAAGUGUUUUUGUGUCAAAUUCGUAGGAUUUUACCACCUAACAUUUCAAAGGUUGUUUUUCAUUGUUUUUAAGUGUUUUUAGAAAGUUUGGAUGUGUUUUUAUGUAGCUUUACCAAAAAAUCCGAAAAUUCAAGAAAAAAAUAGAAAAAGUUUUGAAAAAACCCAAAAAGAGUCGUUUUAAAGUUGUUUUUGUGUGUUUGUUUGUGUCUUAGGGUACCUUCCAACACAAUGAUGAGGAUUCGGUUUGUAAUUGCAUGAUUGUUAAAGAGAGUUAUAAACAUGGAUGAAAGUUUGAUUUACUCUUUGGUUUAUGCUUGGUUGUGGUUAUAACUUAUGACUUCACAUGUAAUCAUAAAGAAAAAAAUCAGUUUUUGUAACAUGCUUGAAGGAAGGAACUCAAACAAACGCUACAACCUUGUGAGACUUGAGCCUAAAUGUUUAUUUGGAGAGUUAAAAUCUGUGCAUUCUUGUUU